UUUUUCUUUUUUCUUUUUUUUGUUGGGUUCUUUUUGGCCUCUCUUUUUUCCUUUUUCGUCUAGAGUCCUAUAACGACUUGUGGGGAAAUCAUAGUCUCCAUCAUCCUUUCUUCACUGGGACAAUGCUCCAAUAAUGGUGAUCAUCACACUUUUAUUUACUUACAACUCAAUAUUACAACUCGAUGAUGUGUCCAUUUUGCAUCAUGUUUUUCUACUGUUGUUUAUAGUGUUUUUAUGCUUUAUAACACUUUGUGGAUUAAUUAUAAUGCCUUUUCUCUCAAAAUAUGCAAGGUUUACACGAAGAGGGAGAAUACCGGUAGCUGGAAUUCUGGACGUGAAAAAGCUAAGUCGGAGAUACCUAUUCUGCACAUCUCCAAAUGGGCUAAAAUUUUACAGAGAAUUAUUUUGGAAUAUAUAAUAAAUAUUGGAGAAAAGAAUAACCGGAGGGGGGCUGUCAGGUGGCCACAAGGCACCAGGGCGCACCAAACACCCCUAGCACGCCCUGGUGGGUAGUAGGCCCCUCGGCCCAACUCCGAUGCCCAUCUUCUGGUAUAUAAGGUCUUUUGACCUAGAGAAAAUAAAGAGAGGACUUUCGGGAUGGAGCGCUGCCAUCUCGAGGCGGAACUUGGGCAGGAGCACUUUUUCCCUCCGGCGAAGCGAUUCUGCUGGAGGAACCUCCUCUCGGAGGGGGAAAUUGAAGCCAUCGUUAUCACCAACAACCCUCUCAUCUUUGGGAGGCCAAUCUUCAUCAACACCGUCUGAAAGAACAUGCGGUGCCCCCAUGUUUGGUUUGGGUAAUUGAUGACAAUCUCUAUGGACUAAUGGUUGCCUUGAGUUAUAUCUGAAGGAUUUGUCCAUAGGCAUUUCUUGAAGUUCAUGUGUUGGUUUCAAGGAGUUUAUGUGGUGACCAAGGUGUUAUUAAGGAAUUAUCCAAAGAUUGGUCAUGUGAGAGUUGAGCUUAUUGCAAGCAUAUCUUGGAGAAGAAGAUUGUGUGAUCAUUCAUGUAUAUCUUCAAGACAUCAUCCAAAUGAAGAGAGUUGAAAAGAUUCAAGGUUGAUCAAGACUAAGUCAAGAGUGAAUCAACUUGAUCAACUCACAAAGCGUAGAAGAUGUACCGAGAGGGAUCAAGCGAUCCCAUGGUGUGGUAAGCAUUGUCAAUUACGCUUUGUGUACUAACCCAUGAUCUUCGUGAGAGUUCUUUGUGGGGUUAGGUUGCGGUGUGCAAGUUCAAGUGAAGCAUCAUGAAGAGAUCAAAUGCGUGAAGCUUGCCGUCCAUUGUGGUGACAAUGGACUUGUGAAGAUGUUGCGGUGUGCAAGUUCAAGUGAAGCAUCAUGAAGAGAUCAAAUGCUUGAAGCUUGCCGUCCAUUGUGGUGACAAUGGACUUGUGAAGAUGUGCGGAAGAGUGGCUCACCCAUAGUGGAGUAUGGGGGAGCAAUCAACUAGUCUUCAUCGAGCCAACGCAACCAAGAAAGGUGGUCCAACUUGAGGGAGUCAAGAUCGUCAUCAUCUAGCUCAAGUGGACCAUGUGCAAGGCAAAGGUUUGCCCUUGAUAGGUUUUCUAUUUUACCGGUCUCAUGAUGGUAGUUGGGAGACCGGGUUAUAGGAUCGAUUGUCGUACUAUCAAGGGGGGCUCUCGAUGAGUAGCUUGAUCGUAUCAUUCGUAGAGAGCUCAAACCAUUGCAUCCUUGCAUCAUCUUUCUUGGUUCUUGUUUGGUUUUUCUCUUUGUGAGUUUUGGAGCUUAUGGUCAUCUUGAUGACAAGCUCGAGUUCAUCGAAAGCGGAGUUCACUCGCAUCUUCUAUGAUGUUUUUGAUGUUGGAAGGUUAUGCCGGUUCUUCUCAGUUGGAGGUUUCACUCCGCUGUUUUGAUGCUACUCGUCGUCUAGUAUCCAACAAGCUUGAGUUUGCUCAAUUCGGAGCUCAUAUGCAGAAGUUAUGGCAGUUUUGGUUUCCCGUGGAGUAUACUUGUUUUCGUGGAAGUGGCUUUAGGAUGGUCCCAGCGGUAGUACCGCGGUACCCAGCGGUAGGCUUAGGGGUCACAAGUGGCAGUACCGCGGUAGUACCGCUGGUGGGUCCUCAGCAGUAGUACCGCUACGGUACCAGGCCCCUACCGCGUCGACUCGAGGGGUCAUUUUUCCUGUCGGAUAGUGCGGUACUUCGCAGCGGCAGUACCGCUCACGAGCGGUAGUACCGCCCAACCACCGCGGCAGUACCGCUCGGGUCUGUCACUCUCCUGCCCUCGAGACUCCACGGUAGUACCGCCCGGGGGAGCGGUAGUACCGCCGUGAUCAGCGGUAGUACCGCUGCCUCCUGCGGUAGUACCGCCCUCUGCGGGGCUGUUUUGGGGGUAACGGUUGGAUUUUUUCCCCCACUAUAUAAGGGGGUCUUCUUCCCCAUUCUACCUUAUCUCUUGAGCUCGUGUUCUUCCCUCAUUGUUGACCUUCUUCAAGCUUGCUAACUCUCAAUCCCUCCAUGGAUUCUUGCUAGUGUUUGAGGGAAAAGAGAGAGGAGAUCUAGAUCCACAUUUCCACCAAUCACUUUCUCCUCUAUGUGAGGGGAACCCCUUGGAUCUAGAUCUUGGAGUUCUUGGUGUUCUCCUUCUUGUUCUUCCUCUCUUUUUCCUCCCUAGCAUUAGUUGCUUCGGUGGGAUUUGAGAGAGAAGGACUUGGGCACUCCGUGUGCCCUUGCCAUUGCAUUUGGUGCAUCGGUUUGAGUUCUCCACGGUGAUACGUGGAAGUUACAAGUUGAGAAGCUUAUUACUCUUGGGUGCUUGGUGCCCUUGAGCUUGUUCCUCUUGGGUGCUUGGGCGCCCUAGAUGGUUGGUGGUGUUCGGAGCUCAAUCAUUGUGGUCUAAAGCUCCGGGCAAGCGUCGGGGUCUCCAAUUAGAUUGUGGAGAUCGCCCCGAGCAAUUUGACGGGUACCGGUGACCGCCCCCAAGGGUUGCCAAAGUGUACGGGUUCGGUGACCGCCCUCAAGGGUCCCUUAGUGGAAUCACGGCAUCUUGCAUUGUGCGAGGGCGCGAGGAGAUUACGGUGGCCCUAGUGGUUUCUUGGGGAGCAUUGUGCCUCCACAUCGCUCCAAACGGAGAUUAGCAUCCGCAAGGGUGUGAACUUCGGGAUACAUCGUCGUCUCCGCGUGCCUCGGUUAUCUCUUACCCGAACCCUUUACUUAUGCACUUUACUUUGUGAUAGCCAUAUUGUUUAUUGUCAUAUAUCUUGCUAUCACUUAGUUGUUUAUCUUUCUUAGCAUAAGUUGUUGGUGCACAUAGGUGAGCCUAGUUGUUGUAGGUUUUGUGCUUGUCAAAUUAACCGCUAGGUUUAUUCCGCAUUUGUUCAAGCCUAAACCGUAAUUAUUUUAAAGCGCCUAUUCACCCCCCCCUUCGGCGACAUCCACGAUCUUUCACCAUCUCAUCUCAAAACCCUAGUUCAUCUCUUGUGUUCAAUCUUUGUACCGGAACCUCAGAUUGGUACUUGUGGGUGACUAGUAGUGUUGAUUACAUCUUGUAGUUGAUGCUAUAUGGUUUAUUUGGUGGAAGAUUAUAUGUUCAGAUCCAUUAUGUUAUUUAAUAUCCCUCUAAUCUUAAGCAUGAAUAUUAUUUGUGAGUAGUUGCCCUUGUUCUUGAGGCCACGGGAGAAGUCAUGUUGCAAGUAAUCAUGUGAAUUUGAUGUUCGUUCGAUAUUUUGAUGAUAUGUAUGUUGUGAUUCCCUUAGUGGUGUUAUGUGAACGUCGACUACAUGACACUUCACCAUGUUUGGGCCCAAUGGAAUGCAUUGUGGAGUAUUUAUUAGAUGAUGGGUUGCUAGAGUGACAGAAGCUUAAACCCUAGUUUAUGCGCUAUCCCGUAAGGGGCUGAUUUGGAUCCAUAUGUGUAAUGCUAUGGUUAGAUUGUUAUCUUAAUUAUUCUUUCGUAGUUGUGGAUGCUUGCGAGGGGAUUAAUCAUAAGUGGGAGGCUUAUUCAAGUAAGAACAGCACCCAAGCACCGGUCCACCCACAUAUCAAAUUAUCAAAGUAGCGAACGCGAAUCAAACCAACAUGAUGAAAGUAACUAGAUGAAAUUCCCGAGUGACCUCAAGAAUGCUUUACUUAUUAUCUGAGACCAUUUCGGCCUGUCCUUUGACAUCAAAAGGAUUGGUCUACCUUGCUUCACUUAUUGUUACUAUUGUUACUUGUUACUCGUUACAAAUUAUCUUGCUAUCAAACUACUUGUUACCAACAAUUUCUGUGCUUGCAGAAAUUACCUUGUUGAAAACCUGUCAUUUCCUUCUGCUCCUUGUUCGGUUCGACACUAUUACUUGUCAAAAGGACUAAGAUUGAUCUCCUAUACUUGUGGGUCAUCAAGACUCUUUUAUGGUGCCGUUGCCGGGGAGUGAAGCGCUCUUGGUAAGUGGAAAUCGGUGAGGAAAAAAUUACAUUACGGGCUGAAAUUUAUUAUCACUUGUUACUAUGGAAAACAAUCCUUUGAGAGGUUUGUUCAGGGUAUCUUCACCUCGGCCGGAAACACAAAGAUUUGCCCCUCAACCUACUACACCUAAUGAAAAUAAUAGUUAUGAAAUUCCUUCGGGUAUGAUAGAGCAAAUGCUAGCUAAUCCUUAUGCAGGAGACGGAGUGAAGCAUCCCGAUAUGCAUUUGAUACAUGUGGAUGAAAUUUGUGGAUUGUUUAAGCUUGCAGGUUUACUCAGAGAUGAAGUUAAUAAGAAGGGUUUCCCUUUAUCUUUGGGGGAAAAGCAUUGACAUGGUGUAGGCUAUACGGUGAUAUUGGAUCUUGGAAUAGGAAUCGACUGAAAUUGGAAUUUCGCCAAAAAUUUGAUCCUAUACAUCUAGUUCAUCGUGAUCGGAAUUAUAUAUAUAUAUAUAUAUAUAUAUAUAUAUAUAUAUAUAUAUAUAUAUAUAUAUAUAUUGGCCUCGUGAAGGAGAAAGUAUCACUCUAGCUUGGGGUAGGCUUAAGUCAAUGUUAUAUUUAUGCCCCAAUCAUGAGCUCUAAAGAGAAAUUAUCAGUCAGAAUUUUUAUGCUCGGCUUUCUCGUAAUGAUCAAUCCAUGCUCGAUACUUCUUGUGAUGGUUCUUUUAUAAAGAAGACUACUGAAUUCAGGUGGGAUCUUUUAGAAAGAAUUAAACGCAACUCUAAAUAUUGGGAACUCGACAAAGGUAAAGAGUCGGGUAUUAAGCUUGAGUUUGGUUGUGUUAAAUCUUUUAUGAACACCGACGCUUUUCACAACUUUAGCACUAAAUAUGGUCUUGACUCUGAGAUAGUAGCCUAUUUUUGUGAAUCAUUUGCUACUCAUGUUGAUCUCCCUAAGCGAGGUGAUGGCGAGGUGCGUGGUGCUUAGCUGAGCGGCGGCGAGGGCAGGAGAGAGGCUAAUUGGAUAGAGGAGAGGCCGGGGUAGGGUCUGGACAAGUUUUAUAAUGGCUAGGGCGCCGGACGGCCAUAAAAUUACAGCUCAUUUGGAGAUGCGCAGAAUAGGUAUCUCUGAUACAACUUUUUCAGGUCCAGAAUUCCAGCUGCCGGUAUUCUGCCUCUUUGGAUAAACCUUGCAUAUUAUGAGAGAAAAGGCAUUAGACUUACUCCACAAAGUUUUAUAUUUAAUAAAAACACUAUGAAUAACAGUAGGAAAACAUGAUGCAAAAUGGACGUAUCAAGUACGUGCUCACUAACGGUGUUGUUCUCCUCCAUCUUACAGCUAAUGACUUGUCAGAGGUUUCAUACCUCUCAACCCGGGCAUGAGUCUGAAAUACCAAUUUCAGCUCCUGGAAUAUCUCAGAUGCUCCGCGGUUCUCAAAACGUCUUUGGAGCCCCGCUUCGAAGCUGUAAAGCAUGGCGCACUGAACUAUCAUGUAGUCAUUAAUAUUCUUGUCUGACAGACGUUCAUAGCAUCUAGGUUUGCGGGAGUAGGUGGCACACUACAAAAAAAGACACAUCCAUGACAUUUUGGCCCGAACGUUUUUUCUGUCAUGGUUCUAACACUCCUAUGACGAUAAUUGUGACAAAAACACGUAUCAUCAUAGAUGUGGUGGGCUCCUACUUUUAUGACAAAAAAUCAUGACAGAAAAUGGGCUUCUCGUCCUGGGUGAGCUGGGGACGCACCUGCAUGACAUUCUUUGGGCCGUCCAUGAUGGAAAAAGUCAUGGUAGAAGCGAGGGUGAGGGAAAUUUCGGGGAGUUCCCGGUUACGGUAGGUGGUCGGGGCCGAGCGAUGCAUGGAGGUUUGCGUGUUUCUCUCAUAUACGUGUGCGUGUGUGUGAGGCAUUGGGAUCUAACUGAAAUCGGGCGAGGCGUUCGCUUACUGAACCCGAGCGAUUGCACUAGCUACAUUACUGAACCCGAGCGAUUGAUCCCUUGGCUGUUAACUGAAUCUGAGCGAUUCCUUCAUUGCUGACUAAACCCGAGCGAUUCCUUCGCUACUGCUGAUAACUAAAGUCGGUCAAUCCUGCCACUUGAUGAACAGUGACUGUUGUUGGGGGUUGGAUGAAUAGUUCUCGGUGGGGGUUGGAUGAACAGGACCCCAUGGUAGUAGGGCGUUGCCGCUGGAUGAACAGGACCUUGAGGAGGCCGCCACACCUGAGCCUGUUGGGGGUGGCUGAACAAGACCCCGUGGAGGGCUGGUUGAAUAGUAGUCGGUGGAGGCUGGAUGAACAGUAACCCAUGGAUGAACAAUAGCUGGCGGAGGUAGGAGGAAGACGCGGUGGAUGAACAGUAGCAGGUGGAGGCUCGAGGAAGUCGACGGUGGAUGAACAGUAGACCGUGGAGUCCCGUUUUGCGGUAUGCCACACCCCUCCCGAUGAGGAACCCGUUUCGAUCGUAGGUGCUCUAGCAGAAGUAUGUUUCCUCCGUCUUGCAGUAAGUCACACCCCUCCCGAUCAACAGGACCCCGUUUCGACCUUGGGCGCUCGAAUAGAAGUCCAUUUCCUCCGUUUUGCGGUAUGCCAGACCACUCCUGAUGAACAGGAUCCUGUUUCAACCGUAGGCGGUCGAACAGAAGGUCGUUUCCUCCAUUUUGCGGUACGCCAGGCCCCGUUUCGGCUGUUUCGUCCAAGCCGCAUGGCUCCCGAUGAACACAAAGCAUUUCGUUGCCUCCCGAUGAACACGACGCUGUUUCUCCAUUCCGACCAACCGGUUGGCUGCCGAUGAACAGGACGCUGCCGAUGAACAGGAUGAGCUGCUGGAAUGCGUCGUCGAGCUGCUGGACGCAGCGGCCACGAGAGCACCGCCCUUCUGCUAUCAGCUCACGCCUCACGCGGCGGUCGGGUCCCACGACGGGCCUCGCCGCGCCCGCGUCUUCCCGGGCGCACCCGAGGGCCUCGUCGACAUCAACAUGACCCACGGUGGAGGGCGCCCUGCCGCGCCCGCACCACCCCAGAUGGGUGCGGGCACAAGUGUUGCCGCGUACGGCCCCAUCGGAGCACCGCCCUGCCAUCCUCAGGACAGCAUGACAGGCCGGGCAACAUGGAGCGUGGGGCACUUCGGCGAGGUCUUCGAGGCAGCGGCCUCGGAGGCCUAUGUGCCCCGCAUGAUGGACCAGGAGUACACGCCGGAGGACGACCCUAGCUCGUUCCUCGGGCCAGGUUGGGAGGAGGAGGCGUUAGGAGCUGAAGCCUUCCAGGAGCCGCCGGAGAGCCUCACCAGCCGCGUCGUCGACAAAAAAUAUAGGGUACCACUAAUCCCUCAGGAGCAAGCUUACACUAACCAUGAGUCGUAGGGGGAUCAGGUCACCACAGCAACUGGCGGCCCCAGCUUGGGGACCUCCCUUCCGCCAGGGGGAUCACGCUGGGGGCUGCAGGAGAGGGGUCGGCAGCCAGAUCCCUCCCCGCGUCGCACGGAGCAAGGCGCCCCCCGGAGGUAGGCUCUCUGCUGGGGAGGUGCUGAAAAGCCUACCCCCGGCAGAGGACCCGUGGUCGUCGAGGGUGCCGCUGGCGUCCCCUUUGCCCCUUUGGUGGCGUCCUGGUUUCCGGUCACCCCCAACGGUGGCUGAGGGAGGCGCAAGGCGAUGCCCUCGUCUGGUGAUAUGAAGUAAGGCUCAUGCCUGUGAAGAUCGCUGCCCGUGACACUCUCACAUAAUAAUGAGUGGGGCUGUACACGCCCCAGAGUCUCUUGAGAGCCGCCCUCGGGCCUCGGGGGCUCCCUCCCACGUCCUAGUGGCAGCACUUAGCUCCGCGCUGGUGAGAAGACUCGAAGACCAGAAGACUAGACUAGGUGCUGGACGCAGCCAUUUGCUUUGGAUCCCUUUUCUGUAGCCUUGCCUUCUGGAUUUGGAUUUAAGCUGAAGUUGAAUUUUUAUCGAUGCGCACGGGGGGUGCCUUUUCUCAUUCAAGCGAUUUCUUGCUAUCUGGUUCUUGCCUUACUUUGAAGCUCGUGCUCGCUGCCUCCCCCUUGCGGGCCCCUCGCGAGCGAGGUUGGGCGCGGCACACGCACCACGCGCGCCGGUCGGCGCUAGAUCCACGUGAAGCCCUCUCGGGCGAGCCAGCAGACUCUUCAGGAGUUCCUCAGGAGCCCACGAUCUCAUGAUCCAGCACGGGGGCUUACCCAACUAAGGUAAGCCGCAACGGCAGACUUGCCGCAGGACCCACGGAUUCUUGAAGGUGCAUACUCGGCUUGACAUAAAGGAAUAAGGACAGCGGUUUGUUUACACGAGGGGCUCCCCCUCUCAAAAUGCUCUUACAAUCUUUAGGGGUCGCGCCUGAGUUUUUGCAUACAAGAUAAAACAGAAGGGGAACAUGGGAUCAGCCGGAUAUGUCGCUCGCCGCAUCGCCUUCGGACGCGUCGCUCGCGUCGUCGUCACCUUCGCCGACAUCGUCGUCGCCUUCGACGGCGCCUCCAUCACCGUCGUUGACCACGUCGCCUUCGUCUACCGCGACCACCACCGCGUCGUCUUCGGAAGCGAAGGCCCUGACCAGUGCAUCCACGUUGUCCUCCACCCACCGCGCCAGGUCGCCCGGAUGGCCUGCGGUACGGGGGCAAUGGCGGCGUCGAAGUCGGGGAAGGUGUUCCGAAGAUGGCUGAAGACACGAGAGAAAGCGCGCCCGAGCAGGCCCCGGCUCCUCUCUUCCAUGAGCUGACAAGCUCUAUCAGACCGGGCUUCCAGGCGCGUCACCACGUCGGCGAAGAAGCGCAGGUGACUGGCGUAGUCAUCCGAGUGGGGAUGCGGUGCAUUCUAGUCACAGACGUGGCCCAGCGUUGUAACAUCCCAAAUUUCCAAUUUGGAAUGUUAUACAUAGGUCAUUCAUGCAUAUCAUAUUUUAUUGCAUUUCUUUUUGCAAUCCUCGAAAUUCUAAGCAACUCAAGGGCCCAUGGAGAGAGUUGGGGAUUUCACCGUUUUCAUAUUUGAGUUAUUAUCAAAUAUCGAAACAAGGAUCAGUUUGGUUUUAAUUAUUAUUCUCUCUGAAAAUAUUUCAUAUUAAAAAUAUAUGAGAGGAGAUAAUAUGACUUCUCCAAAAUAAAUGAAAUAUUGGAGGAAAAUACCAAAAUCAAAUAAUAUAUUUUAUUUGGAUUUUGUUGCUAUUUUAUUUGAAUUAGAAAAAAUAUGCAUUUUUCAAAAUUGCAUUUUAGGCCAAGAAAAUGUUCACCCUGUUCUAAAUAUUUUAUUUAGACGGGGAAAAUUUGUUUUGGUAUUUUUAGACUUUUUUUAUUUUUCUAGGAUUUAUUUUCGGCGGAAUUUAUUUAAAAAAAAGUUUCCCUCCCGAACCGAACUGGGCCGAGGCCCAGUUGGCCCAGCCACCCCGAGCCGCCAUCUCCCUCGCGGAGACCGCGAGCCGCACGCUGCCGCCCGUCGUGGCCGACGCGACCACGCCUCCCCCGCCCCCUACCGCAAGCCGCCUCCCCUCCCCUCCUUNNNNNNNNNNNNNNNNNNNNNNNNNNNNNNNNNNNNNNNNNNNNNNNNNNNNNNNNNNNNNNNNNNNNNNNNNNNNNNNNNNNNNNNNNNNNNNNNNNNNNNNNNNNNNNNNNNNNNNNNNNNNNNNNNNNNNNNNNNNNNNNNNNNNNNNNNNNNNNNNNNNNNNNNNNNNNNNNNNNNNNNNNNNNNNNNNNNNNNNNNNNNNNNNNNNNNNNNNNNNNNNNNNNNNNNNNNNNNNNNNNNNNNNNNNNNNNNNNNNNNNNNNNNNNNNNNNNNNNNNNNNNNNNNNNNNNNNNNNNNNNNNNNNNNNNNNNNNNNNNNNNNNNNNNNNNNNNNNNNNNNNNNNNNNNNNNNNNNNNNNNNNNNNNNNNNNNNNNNNNNNNNNNNNNNNNNNNNNNNNNNNNNNNNNNNNNNNNNNNNNNNNNNNNNNNNNNNNNNNNNNNNNNNNNNNNNNNNNNNNNNNNNNNNNNNNNNNCCCCGCACUGCCCCGCCUCGCCGCGCCGCCGCAGAAGCCGCCGGAGCCACCGCCGCCGAUCCGAUCCAAAGCCGUUCGGUUUUUUUGGCUUUUACGUAAAAUCCUGGUUUUUUUAACCCAAGUUUUGUUUUUUUAGAUCGGUUCAUUCGGUUUUUCUCGGUUCGGUUAAAUAGAGGACGUUCGUCCGUACGUUCGUUUUAACGAACGUUCGUUCGUUAGCCUGUUUGUCAGUUUUUCUUUUCCCAGGGUUUUUCCGCGAUUAUUUUCGAUCGCGAUUCCAACCUAAUCUUCGAUUUGGUAUAUCUUUUCGCUCGUUUAUCCAAAUCAGGUGAUACAAGCGUCUAGAUCUUCGUCUCGAAGCCCUCUCUCUGUUUAACCAACUUGAACAAGAUUUUGGUACUAUAAAAUUUGACUUUAGUCCUGAUUAGUAAACGGAUCUUGUUUCUUUCGCAGUUUGAGUUUCGUUGCUCUGUUUGAUUUGAUUCUUUUUGCAAACCGGAGUUCUUCAGUUGAACUUUCUGGUUAGAUCUUCUUAUUUGAGUUUUACCCGUGCAUCUAUGAUUGAUUGCUUAUGUAUGCUAUUGUUUGUUUGCGAUAGAAUUCCCGGAGUGCGAAGCGUGCUACUACGAGUCUCUAGGUUUUGCAGAUCGUCAGCAAGGCAAGUAACACAUUGAUCAUACUCUUUUCAUACCCAGUUUUUAUGCAUUAGUAUCAAUCCCCAAACAUUGCAUGAUUAGGAUGUGGUUAACUUGUGGGUAUUGGGAAGUAGUUGUUGAGGUAGAACCUAUUGCCCUGUUUAUUAUCAAACCCUUGGGAGUUACUUCUACGUUAUGCUUAUAUUGCUAUGCUAUGCUCAUAGACGUGGUUUGGGUGAGUGAACCCAUGACAGAUGUGAGCUUGUUAAUUAAUGGUUAACUUAAGGUGGCAACUUUAAUACACAUCUGGGUGGAUUGCUUGUGGGCACCUGGAGAAUCCAGUGUUGUCCUAGGAUAUCCCGGAGUACCCGUGUGAUCAUCCUACGGUCCGCCACCCAGGCUCAAAGGGAUCAUAAGGUUAUUCAUGCUAGAAACUUCCGUGUGCAGCCACAAGCUAUUAUGGGCUCUAGCACAGUUGAGUAUGUUGCAUGACCUCUUCCAGUGGUAGGCUAGCAUAUGUAGGGGAUGUAGGUUGGUACUGUCUACCCAAGGUUAGAGUUAAUGCUUCUAAAAGACUGUGUCUCGGUCAUCCGUUUCACAAACAUCAUGUAGUGCGAGAAAUUCAACGGAGGAGAACGAGUCUUGUGGGGAAAAGUGCGCAAACCUCUGCAGAGUGUACAAACUAAUCAUGGUUAGCCAUGUCCCGGGUUAUGGACAUCUUGAGUAUCUGGUUCUUGGAUUAUCAUAUGGAUCUCAUCACUCUAAAUAUAAUUUUGUUGGGUUGAUAAUUACUUUUAAUUGGGAUUUGAGUUGGAGGAACCUUCUCAAAUGUUGUUCAACUACCAUGAUAGUUAAAUAAAAUAUAUUCCUUUGUUGUAGGGAAAAAUUGGCUUUUCGCAAAAACAUAUUAACCAUACAGCCUCCACCAGCCAUAUAUGCAUGUAGUGAUAGAAAUUAUUUGUUCAUUACUUUACUAUGUUACUAUGCCAGCAUAUUCCAUGUGCUGACCCGUUUUCGGGAUGCAACGUAUCAUGUUGCAGACUUUUCAGACGAAGAGUAAGGUACGCUAGGUCGUUGUCGUGCACUCAGCUAUGCCGUUGGAGUUGAUGGACUCACUUUAUCUUCCAAGCCUUCUGCUGUUAUCUUAUUUAGAUGGCCUUAGGCCAUAUUUAUUGUAAUAAGUUCUCUUUGGAGACUAUCGAUGUAAUAAGUGUGUGAUUGCUACUCUGUUAUAAAUCCUUCGAGUACUGUGUGUGUCAGCAUUACCGAUCCAGGGAUGACACAUGCACAGAGACUUGACCGUCUGAGGUCGGGUCGCUACAAGAUGGUAUCAGAGCACACGCUGAAUGUAGGACACGACCACUAAGAUGAGCCAUAGGUCACUCUUCUCUACUCAUUUCUGACUCCUCUCCAUUUUCUACUCUUUAGGUUGGUGGACUCAAGGAACAAGUUUGCACAACCAGAUGAAGACACACCUUUUGGACGACACUUGAAGGAAGUCACUAGGUACAUGAACAUCGGAAUACCAAGCUUCACCGGGACCUACACCACCACCUUACCAGAAGAGGAGCGCUGGAUGAUUCGAGUUCAAGUUCCAGGAAGGACUUUCACGCCAGUCACUGAGCCCAUAGAGUUUUCCUUUGAUGCACCAACAUGGAGUCUAGGCAAGAGCAUGGCAGCCCACAUUGCUAUGGGAAGAAUUGGAGAAGUCUACAAACAGGAGCUGAAGGACACUAUCUACUAGAUAUGUGGGUGCCGAGAUGAGCAAUGGGAGAUGAUCAGUACCAGGAAGGACAGGUCCAUUGCAGCUUUCAUCCAGGAGUUAAACCAGCACAUCCGACGCCAGGAGAACCAGAUGUGCGCUAGCAUGAUAGAUUUGAAGAAGGCUAUGACCAGGAACAUGGAGCUAGAGGAGGAACUCAAGUCUACACACGACAGAUACGAGGAGGAAAUCGCAAUUCUGUUGCAGAAGAAUGAUGACCUGAUAAAGAAGCUCGGAGUAUUCCUGGGAGACCCCGCACCAGGAGGAGAUGACGACGAACCCAAGGAGAUUCAUUCUGAAGACUACAUCAUCAUCAACGACACCGACUCCGAUCCCGACGGUAAUGAUGAUGACUGUGAAGACGAAGCUGGAGCUGAUAUCAUGGACUCUUCCACCGAUCAAAACUUCUAGUAGACCACCAUAUGAUCAAGUAGUAUUUCCCCCAUGUAUAUAGUAUAGUCUGAGCACUGUAAUGAUAGUUAGAUCGAUUGUAUGCCCUUGCUUGAUUGAUUGAGUGAUAUGAUAUGGUUGUGUUUCUCUUAUGUGCAUAUGGGUAGUACUUUUCCCACUACACCUCAUUCUAUUCUAAUCUCUUCCCUCUAAAUCCAUCAGAUGCCUCCGGGACGUGAUACCGGAUUUGUCUUCCCACCGAAGCUCACUCAGUUGAUCCAGCAGAAGAAUGCCUUGAUGCAGUUGUUAGUUUAGAACCAAGGCAACAACAACAACCCACCGCCACCACCUCCAGUUAACAACUUAGCCUGUUUUCUGAGGUUGCAACCGCCGGUGUUUUCCAGUAGCACCGAGCCGAUAGUUGCUGAUGAUUGGCUAUGCAGGAUUGGAAGGGAGUUGACCACCGCAGGUUGCACAGAUGCUGAGAAGGUGCGCUUUGCCGCACAUCAAUUGGAUGGACUAGCAGCCUCAUGGUGGGAGAAUUACACAGCCACAUUCCCUAUAUCCAAUGUCACUUGGGAGCAGUUUCAGCAGGCAUUCCGCACAGCCCAUGUCUCAACUGGAGCUAUGAGCAUGAAGAAGCGUGAGUUUCGCAACUUACGCCAAGGGAAUCGUACUAUGGGGCAGUACAUGGAUGAGUUUAGCAAGUUAUCUCGCUAUGCCCCAGAUGAUGUGGCCACAGAUGCCGUGAAGCAGGAGAAGUUUAUGGAAGGGCUGAACGAUGAGAUGAGUAUGCAGUUGAUGGUGGCAACAUUUAACAACUACCAGGAGUUGGUAGAUAAAGCUCUCAUGAUUGAAGGGAAGCAUCAGCAAAUAGAGAGCCGCAAGAGGAAGUAUGGACCAGGGAAGUACAAUUCAGGAGCUCAGCAGAAGCCUCGUUUUACCCCGAACUCUGGAGGAUUUACCCAUAACCAUGGAGGCCACACUCACAAUGGAGGAAGUUCUCAUAAUCAUAAUGGCCCCAAGAAUGGGAAUGGGAAUGGAGCAAGCAACAAUCAGAACCGCUCCAAUCCAGCCACACCCGCCAAGAGGGACCUAAGUCACAUUACUUGUUUCAAGUGCGGGAAGACUGGACACUAUGCCACUGAGUGCCCUGAAACGAAGAACGGAAAUGGUAAUGGGAGCUCUGGGAAGAAGCUCAAUCCAUUUAACAAAGGACAAGUGAACCACGUGAGCGUGGAGGAGGUUGAAGAGCAGCCAGACGCAGUUAUCGGUAAGUUUUUGGUUAAGUCUCUUACCGCUCUCGUUCUUUUUGAUACUGGUGCAUCACAUUCAUACAUAUCAAGGGGAUUUGUGGACAAGUUUAAGUUGCCAUCCCUAGCCCUUAGGACACCCAUGCUAGUGAGCUCACCAGGUGCAGAGUACAUGGCCAGCCGAUGGUGCGAUUGGAUACCCUUAACCAUCGGGAGCCAUGUUUACCCCUCAGACCUAAUAAUUUUGGAGUCGCAAGGAUUGGACAUCAUAUUAGGCAUGGAUUGGUUACCGAAGUAUGGAGGAAACAUUGACUGCGCUAGCAAGUCAAUUCUGCUCACCACCCCGGAGGGAAAAAGGAUCAAGUAUGUAUCCAGGCAUUCGCCAAGGAGGACUCAAGCAAAUUCCCUCUCAGGAGUUGUUUAGGAGGAAGUGCCUGUUGUGAAGGAUUACCCGGAUGUGUUUCCAGAAGAGUUACCAGGCAUGCCACUAGAUCGAGACAUUGAGUUCUUGAUAGAAUUGUUGCCAGGCACCGCACCUAUAUCAAAGAGACCCUACCGGAUGCCCGCAAAUGAUCUAGAGGAGAUCAAGAAGCAGAUUAAGGAGUUAUUGGAGAAAGGUUACAUCCGACAAAGUUCAUCACCGUGGGGAGCCCCAGUGCUCUUGGUUGAGAAGAAGGAUGGAUCUUUAAGGAUGGUUGUUGAUUAUCGAGCAUUGAAUGAAGUGACGAUCAAGAACAAGUACCCACUGCCGAUGAUCAAUGACUUGUUUGAUCAGUUGCAAGGAGCUAAAGUAUUUUCAAAGAUCGAUCUGCGAUCAGGAUACCACCAGCUGAAGAUUCAUGAGAAGGAUAUACCUAAGACAGCUUUCACCACUAGGUACGGGCUGUAUGAGUAUACGGUUAUGUCAUUUGGAUUGACUAACGCCCUGCCUACUUCAUGAGUAUGAUAAAUAAGGUGUUUACGGAGUUUUUGGAUAAGUUCGUUGUGGUGUUCGUUGAUGAUAUCUUGGUAUACUCAAAGAAUGAAGAGGAGCACAAGGAGCAUUUGCGUUUAGUGCUCGAGAAGCUCAGGGAACAUCAGUUGUAUGCCAAGUUCAGCAAAUGCGAGUUUUGGUUGAAGGAAGUUGGAUUCCUUAGACAUGUUAUAUCAGGAGAAGGUAUAGCAGUAGACCCCACCAAGGUUAAGUCAGUCACAGAUUGGAUAUCCCCCGUCACAGUUGGAGAAAUCCGCAAUUUUCUUGGACUUGCGGGAUACUAUCGGAGAUUUAUUGAGAAUUUCUCUAAAAUUGCGAAGCCCGUGACGGAGUUGUUGAAGAAGGACACUAAGUUCAAAUGGACAGAAGAAUGUGAGGCCAGUUUUCAGGAGUUGAAGAAACGUCUGACUACGGCCCCAGUGCUAAUUCUGUCGGAUAUGCGCAAGGAUUUCCAAGUGUAUUGCGACGCAUCUCGCUUAGGACUUGGAGGAGUGCUUAUGCAGGACGGAAGAGUUGUUUCAUAUGCCUCACGUCAACUUCGACCGCAUGAGUUGAAUUAUGCCACUCAUGAUUUGGAGCUAGCAGCCGUAGUGCAUGCACUCAAGACUUGGAGACACUUUCUUAUUGGAAACCGUUGUGAUGUGUACACAAAUCAUAAGAGUUUGAAGUACAUAUUCACCCAGAAGGAGCUGAACCUCAGGCAGAGGAGAUGGUUGGAACUUAUAAAGGAUUAUGACAUGAAGCUGCAUUAUCAUCCAGGAAAGGCCAAUGUCGUAGCAGACGCUUUGAGCCGGAAGAGUUAUGUCAAUACCCUCGUAAGCGGAGGAUUGCCAAAGGAGUUAGCAAAAGAUCUUAGGGAGUUGUGUUUGGAGAUAGUCCCUAGAGGUUUUGUUGCAGCAUUGGAGGUUCAGUCAACAUUAUUGGGAAAGAUUCGAGAAGCUCAGAAGGAUGACAAAGAAAUUGCCGAGAUAAAGGAGAAGAUGAGCAAAGGAAAAUCCAAAGGUUUUCGUGAGGAUGAGCACGACACCUUGUGGUUUGAGGACCGUGUAUAUGUGCCCAAUAAUGCAGAGAUCGGGAAGUUGAUACUUCAGGAAGCUCAUGACUCACCAUACUUGAUAGACCCCGGAAACACCAAGAUGUAUUUGGAUUUGAAGGAGCGUUUUUGGUGGACUGGUAUGAAGAAGGAUAUUGCUGAGUAUGUAGCGGUAUGUGAUGUAUGUCAGAGAGUGAAGGCAGAACAUCAGAAGCCAGCAGGAUUACUGCAGCCUAUGCCGAUACCCGAAUGGAAGUGGGAUAAGCUUGGCAUGGAUUUUAUCACCGGAUUGCCCAGGACCCGAUCAGGAUAUGAUUCUAUCUGGGUAGUAGUUGAUUGCUUGACCAAAGUGGCUCACUUUAUCCCAGUGAAAACCACGUAUACAAGUGCGAAGUUGGCCAAGAUAUACAUGACCAGGAUCGUAUGUCUGCAUGGAGUUCCGAGGACCAUCGUAUCAGAUAGAGGAACAUAGUUUACUUCAAAGUUUUGGAAUCAGUUACACCAGACUUUGGGUAUCAGGCUAGAAUUCAGCACAGCCUUUCACCUGCAGACAGAUGGCCAGACUGAGAGAGUCAAUCAGAUUCUGGAAGACAUGUUGAGAGCUUGUGCGCUGGAUUAUGGAUCUAGUUGGGAUGAUAAUUUUCCAUACGCGGAGUUUUCAUACAACAAUAGCUACCAGGCCAGUUUGAAGAUGGCACCGUUCGAAGCCCUGUAUGGAAGAAGGUGCAGAACACCGUUGAUGUGGGAUGAAGUUGGAGACCGCCAGUUCUUUGGACCAGAUUUGAUCAAAGAGUCAGAAGAGAAGGUUAAGCUGAUUCGGGAUAGACUGAAGGUAGCUCAGUCCAGGCAGAAGAGUUAUGCAGAUUCAAAACGCAAGGAGGUAGUCUAUGAGAUCGGAGAUCGAGCAUAUCUUCGUGUGUCACCUCUGUGGGGAGUUAAACGUUUUGGAGUUAAGGGAAAGUUAGCCCCAAGAUUUGUAGGACCAUACCAAGUUUUGGAACGUAUGGGAGAGGUUGCCUACAAGUUGGAAUUACCCGAAGGAUUGUCAGGAGUUCAUGAUGUGUUCAUGUCUCUCAGUUGAAGAAGUGACAUGCUGAGAUGGCCGAUAUACCUUUGAGAGAUACAGUUCCCGUAGAAGCGAUUCAGUUGGACAGUGAUUUGACCUAUGAGGAGAAACCUGUCAAGAUUCUCGAGUUUGCCAGCCGAGUUACUCGCAGCAAGGUAUCAAGUUUUGCAAAGUUCAAUGGAGCCACCAUACCGAGGAUGAAGCCACCUGGGAACGAGAGGAUGAUCUACGGAAGGACCACCCACACCUAUUUUCUAGCCAACCCGAAUCUCGAGAGCGAGAUUCAUCUUAAGGCGGGUAGGUUUGUAACAUCCCAAAUUUCCAAUUUGGAAUGUUAUACAUAGGUCAUUCAUGCAUAUCAUAUUUUAUUGCAUUUCUUUUUUGCGAUCCUCGAAAUUCUAAGCAACUCAAGGACGCAUGGAGAGAGUUGGGGAUUUCACCGUUUUCAUAUUUGGAUUUUUAUCAAAUAUCGAAACAAGGAUCACUUUGGUUUUAAUUAUUUUUCUCUCCAAAAAUAUUUCAUAUUAAAAAUAUAUGAGAGGAGAUAAUAUGACUUCUCCAAAAUAAAUGAAAUAUUGGGGAAAAAAAACCAAAAUCAAAUAAUAUAUUUUAUUUGGAUUUUAUUGCUAUUUUAUUUGAAUUGGAAAAAAUAUGCAUUUUUCAAAAUUGCAUUUUAGGCCAAGAAAAUGUUCACCCUGUUCUAAAGAUUUUAUUUAGACGGUGAAAUUUUGUUUUGGUAUUUUUAGAUUUUUUUUAUUUUUCUAGGAUUUAUUUUCGGCGGAAUUUAUUUAAUAAAAGUUUUCCCGCCGGACCGAACUCGGCCGAGGCCCAGUUGGCCCAGCCACCCCGCGCCGCCGUCUCCCUCGCGGAGACCGCGAGCCGCACGCCGCCGCCCGCCGUAGCCGACUCGGCCCCGCAUCCCCCGCCCCCUGCCGCAAGCCGCCUCCCCUCCCCUCCUUAAAAACCGACCCAGGGCCCCCCGGAGCCCCAAGUCACCAGCCGCCGCCGCCCGCAAGCCANNNNNNNNNNNNNNNNNNNNNNNNNNNNNNNNNNNNNNNNNNNNNNNNNNNNNNNNNNNNNNNNNNNNNNNNNNNNNNNNNNNNNNNNNNNNNNNNNNNNNNNNNNNNNNNNNNNNNNNNNNNNNNNNNNNNNNNNNNNNNNNNNNNNNNNNNNNNNNNNNNNNNNNNNNNNNNNNNNNNNNNNNNNNNNNNNNNNNNNNNNNNNNNNNNNNNNNNNNNNNNNNNNNNNNNNNNNNNNNNNNNNNNNNNNNNNNNNNNNNNNNNNNNNNNNNNNNNNNNNNNNNNNNNNNNNNNNNNNNNNNNNNNNNNNNNNNNNNNNNNNNNNNNNNNNNNNNNNNNNNNNNNNNNGCCUGCUGUUGUGCUGCUGCCGCGCUGCCCAGCCUCGCCGCGCCGCCGCAGAAGUCGCCGGAGCCGCCGCCGCCGAUCCGAUCCGGAGCCGUUCGGUUUUUUUGGUUUUUAGGCCCGGUUUUUAAAAAAAACCUAGUUUUGUUUUUUUAGAUCGGUUCGUUCGGUUUUUCUCGGUUCAAUUAAAUAGCGGACGUUCGUUCGUAUGUUCGUUUUAACGAACGCUAUUCGUCCGUUAGCCGCAGGCAGCGAACGUUCGUUCGUUAGCCUGUUCGUCAGUUUUUCUUUUCCCAGGUUUUUCCACGAUUAUUUUUGAUCGUGAUUCCAGCCCUAAUCUUCGAUUUGGUAUAUCUUUUCGCUCGUUUAUCCAAAUCAGGUGAAACAAGCGUCUAGAUCUUCGUCUCGAAGCCCUCUCUCUGUUUAACCAACUUGAACAAGAUUUUGGUACUGUAAAAUUUGACUUUAGUCCAGAUUAGUAAAAGGAUCUUGUUUCUUUUGCAGUUUGAGUUUCGUUGCUCUGUUUGAUUUGAUUCUUUUUGCAAACCGUAGUUCUUCAGUUGAACUUUCUGGUUAGAUCUUCUUAUUUGAGUUUUACCCGUGCAUCUAUGAUUUAUUGCUUAUGUAUUCUAUUGUUUGUUCGUGAUAGAAUUCCCGGAGUGCGAAGCGUGCUACUACGAGUCUCUAGGUUUUGCAGAUCGUCAGCAAGGCAAGUAACACAUUGAUCAUACUCUUUUCAUACCCAGUUUUUAUGCAUUAGUAUCAAUCCCCAAACAUUGCAUGAUUAGGAUGUGGUUAACUUGUGGGUAUUGGGAAGUAGUUGUUGAGGUAGAACCUAUUGCCAUGUUUAUUAUCAAACCCUUGGGAGUUACUUCUACGUUAUGCUUAUAUUGCUAUGCUAUGCUCAUAGACGUGGUUUGGGUGAGUGAACCCAUGACAGAUGUGAGCUUGUUAAUUAAUGGUUAACUUAAGGUGGCAACUUUAAUACACAUCUGGGUGGAUUGCUUGUGGGCACCUGGAGAAUCCAGUGUUGUCCUAGGAUAUCCCGGAGUACCCGUGUGAUCAUCCUACGGUCCGCCACCCAGGCUCAAAGGGAUCAUAAGGUUAUUCAUGCUAGAAACUUCCGUGUGCAGCCACAAGCUAUUAUGGGCUCUAGCACAGUUGAGUAUGUUGCAUGACCUCUUCCAGUGGUAGGCUAGCAUAUUAAUGGUUAACUUAAGGUGGCAACUUUAAUGGGCCAUGUUUAUUAUCAAACCCAUGGGAGUUACUUCUAUUAUGGGCCAUGUUUAUUAUCAAACCCUUGGGAGUUACUUCUACGUUAUGCUUAUAUUUCUAUGCUCGUAGACGUGGUUUGGGUGAGUGAAUCCAUGACAGAUGUGAGCUUGUUAAUUAAUGGUUAACUUAAGGUGGCAACUUUAAUGUACAUUUGGGUGGAUUGCUUGUGGGCACCUGGAGAAUCCAGUGUUGGCCUAGGAUAUCCAGGAGUACUCGUGUGAUCAUCCUACGGUCCGCCACCCAGGCUCAAAGGGAUCAUAAGGUUAUUCAUCCUAGAAACUUACGCGUGCAGCCACAAGCUAUUAUGGGCUCUAGCAUAGUUGAGUAUGUUGCAUGACCUCUUCCAGUGGUAGGCUAGCAGAUGUAGGGGAUGUAGGUUGGUAUUGUCUACCCAGGGUUAGAGUUAAUGCUUCUGAAAGACUGUGUCUCGGUCAUCCGUUUCUCAAACAUCAUGUAGUGCGAGAAAUGCAACGGAGGAGAAGGAGUCUUGUGGGGAAAAGUGCGCAAACCUCUGCAGAGUGUACAAACUAAUCAUGGUUAGCCGUGUCCCCGGUUAUGGACAUCUUGAGUAUGUGGUUCUUGGAUUAUCAUAUGGAUCUCAUCACUCUAAAUAUAAUUUUGUUGGGUUGAUAAUUACUUUUAAUUGGGAUUUGAGUUGGAGGAACCUUCUCAAAUGUUGUUCAACUACCAUGAUAGUUAAAUAACAUAUAUUCCUUUGUUGUAGGGAAAAAUUGGCUUUUCGCAAAAACAUAUUAACCAUACAGCCUCCACCAGCCAUAUAUGCAUGUAGUGAUAGCAAUUAUUUGUUCAUUACUUUACUGUGUUACUAUGCCAGCAUAUUCCAUGUGCUGACCCGUUUUCGGGCUGCAACGUAUCAUGUUGCAGACUUUUCAGACAAAGAGUAAGGUACGCUAGGCCGUUGUCGUGCACUCAGCUAUGCCGUUGGAGAUGAUGGAGUCACUUUAUCUUCCAAGCCUUCCGCUGUUAUCUUAUUUAGAUGGCCUUAGGCCAUAUUUAUUGUUAUAAGUUCUAUUUGGAGACUAUCGAUGUAAUAAGUGUGUGAUUGCUACUCUAUUAUAAAUCCUUCGAGUAUUGUGUGUGUCAGCAUUACUGAUCCAGGGAUGACAGUUAUGCACAGAGACUUGACCGUCUGAGGUCGAGUCGCUACAAGCGCCGCGUUGGCCCUGACCCUGAGGUCCUGGAGCAUGGGGGCGUGCUCGCGCUCCAAUGUCCGCCGCUGAAGCACUUCCUCCCUGUUUUGUCGCACGACCGCCUCGGCGUCAUCAACCCAUUUCUGAAGAGAGGGCAGCUCGGCGCGGGAGGAAGCCAACUCCGCCUACGCCGUAACCAGGGCGGCCGCUGUGGCCUCCUCGUGCUUCUCUACCUCAGCCAGCCGGGGCCUAAGGGCAGCGGCCCUACCUGCAGCCUUCGUCUCCGCGGGCUGCGACAUCAAAUCAUGCCAACCCUUGAGACCCGCACAAACCUCAGCCACCCGGCGAUCGACCUCCUCCUGAGCCUUGGCCUCGCGUGCGCCAAUGGCAUCUUCCGCUUGGGCAACUUGAUGCUCCCUCAUCUCCAGCCACUCAAGCUCGAGGCUACGCUCCACGGCUUCCAGAGCCAAUGCCUCCUCGCGCCUCCGGACCUCUUCUUCCUCGGCGGGCAUCCCCCUCAGCAACGCAAGGGCAGCUUUGCGUGCCUCCACCUGCUGCUCCAGGGACGCGCUCCAAGCCUGGAGCUCCCACGCGCGCUUCUCCGCAGCCUCGCGACGGUGGUCGGCCUCGCGAGCUUCCUCCAAAGCUCUAGAUCAAGCCUCACGAGAGACCUUAAGGGACGCCUCGGCCUUCGCAUUGUCAAGAUCACGCUGACGAUGGCCAAGGUUGAUAGCCACCUUCAACUUGUGCCACUCCUCCACCAACCGAAGACCCUCGGCCUCAAGGCGCGCGUCGACACCCGCGAGUUCUUCACCGAGUCGAUUCAUCGCGCCCAUCGCCUCCUGGAAGAGCUCAUGACGAACAACGCUCCGCCCGUGCUCGAACUCAAAAUCACGGCCCAUCUCGUCCUCCGCCGCGGGGGCUGUGGGCGAGGCCUGGAGCGGUGCGCCCCCUCUCAGCAGGGGGCUGGGGGCUGGCGCUGCCCUAGGCGCCAGCCGGACCUCGCGAGGGGCCCGAACUAGACGGGGCCCGCUGCCUGAAGAGGAGCGGAAGACCGAAGCCAACCAGCCGCUGUCCAUGACCAGAGGAGGGGCCCUAGGCACGCCCGCCAAGCUCCAAGCCAGGCCAUGGAGGAAGGACGACGAGACCGCAGAUUCAAAGCGCCGUGGAGGCAAGCGCGCCUCUCCAACCGACCCUACUCCAGGGAUAGCAUGCAGGCUCGGGGCGCUCAAGGCCAGCGGGGGAGUCGAGGAAAGAGGAGGCUGCUCCUCAGGAGAUGCAACGGCCUUGGCAGAAGGGACCCUGAAAGACCACCGUCAGGAAGGAAAGCAGCACUCAAGAAAUCACUAAGGUACAAUACUUACUCGUCGACGGCGAUGUACUUCCUUCGCUUCAACGGCCCGAAGAUACCGCUGCUGCUCGGGGAUCCUUUCCUCUUGCGGAGCUCCUCAAAGUCCACACAAAGCCGGCCGAAGCGCUGGACGUGGCGGCCGGCACGGGGUGCGAUCAGGGAAGCGCUCGAAGGGACAGCUCAGGGGUGUCGGGCUGCGGAGAGCAGACGGGCACCGUCUCACCGCGACCUCCCGAGACCUUCGGAGCUUCGGCCUCGGGAGCCGCGUGCUGCAUUGUCUCAGCGACCGACACCGCACGGGAAGGAUCGUGAGUUCCUGAGGACGACGCCCCAGGAGCACCAGACGACAUCUGCACCUCAGCACUCGGGCCGCCAGCCUCCGGCGGUGCUCGCCCCCUGCAUCUACCCUCAGGGCGAGCUUGGCGCCAGCGAUGGAGAAGGGAACUACGUCGACGGGGUUCUCGCGGGGCCCCACCAGGCCGCCCGGGCGCAGCCCCCACUCAUCAAAGGAAGGCAUGCUAUCUACAAAUUCAGCCUUGUUCAGUGUUGGAAAUAUGCCCUAGAGGUAAUAAUAAAAUGGUUAUUAUUGUAUUUGCUUGUUCAUGAUAAUUGUCUAUUGUUCAUGCUAUAAUUGUAUUAACUGGAAACGUAAUACAUGUCUGAAUAAAUAGACCACAACAUGUCCCUAGUAAGCCUCUAGUUGACUAGCUCGUUGAUCAAUAGAUGGUUAUGGUUUCCUGACCAUGGACAUUGGAUGUCAUUGAUAACGGGAUCACAUCAUUAGGAGAAUGAUGUGAUGGACAAGACCCAAUCCUAAGCAUAGCACAAGAUCGUGUAGUUUGUUUGCUAAGAGCUUUUCUAAUGUCAAGUAUCAGUUCCUUAGACCAUGAGAUUGUGCAACUCCUGGAUACCGUAGGAAUGCUUUGGGUGUACCAAACGUCACAACGUAACUGGGUGGCUAUAAAGGUACACUACAGGUAUCUCCGAAAGUGUCUGUUGGGUUGGUACGAAUCGAGACUGGGAUUUGUCACUCCGUAUGAUGGAGAGGUAUCUCUGGGCCCACUCGGUAAUGCAUCAUCAUAAUGAGCUCGAUGUGACUAAGGAGUUAGCCACGGGAUCAUGCGUUACGGAACGAGUAAAGAGACUUGCCGGUAACAAGAUUGAAUGAGGUAUUGGGAUACCGACGAUCGAAUCUCGGGCAAGCAACAUGCCGAUUGACAAAGGGAAUUGUAUACAGGAUUGAUUGAAUCCCCGACAUCGUGGUUCAUCCGAUGAGAUCAUCGUGGAACAUGUGGGAGCCAAUAUGGGUAUCCAGAUCCCGCUAUUGGUUAUUGGCCGGAGAGAUGUCUCGGUCAUGUCUGCAUGGUUCCCGAACCCGUAGGGUCUACACACUUAAGGUUCGGUGACGCUAGAGUUGUUAUGGGAAAUAGUAUGUGGUUACCGAAGGUUGUUCGGAGUCACGGAUAGGAUCCCGGACGUCACGAGGAGUUCCGGAAUAGUCCGGAGGUAAAGAUUUAUAUAUGGGAAGUCAUCAUACGGUCACCGGAAGUAUUCGGGGGUAUGCCGGUAUUGUACCGGGGCCACCGAAGGGGUUCCGGAGGUCCACCGGGAGGGUCCACCUGCCCCGGAGGGCCUUAUGGGCUGUAGGUGGAAGGGAACCAGCCCCUAAGUGGGCUGGGCACCAACCUCCCCCUAGGGCCCAUGCGCCUAGGGUUGGGGGAAACCCUGGAGGGGGCACCCCCCUUGACUUGGGGGGCAAGCCACCCUCCCUGGCCGCCGCCCCUCCCACCAGAUGGGAUCUAAGGGGCCGGCCCCCCUCUCCCUUGCCCCUAUAUAUAGUGGAGGGGUGGGAGGGCAGCCGCACCCCUGGCCUGGUGCAGCCCUCUCCUCCUCCAACUCCUCCUCUUCCUCCGUAGUGCUUAGCGAAGCUCUGCUGGAGAACCACGAGCUCCAUUGCCACCACGCCGUCGUGCUGCUAGAGUUCUCCCUCAACUUCUCCUCUCCCCUUGCUGGAUCAAGAAGGAGGAGACGUCCCCGGGCUGUACGUGUGUUGAACGCGGAGGCGUUGUCCGUUCGACGCUAGAUCGGAUCUUCCGCGAUUUGAAUCGCUGCGAGUACGACUCCAUCAACCGCGUUCUUGUAACGCUUCCGCUUAGCGAUCUUCAAGGGUAUGAAGAUGCACUCCCUCUCUCUCGUUGCUAGCAUCUCCUAGAUUGAUCUUGGUGACACGUAGGAAAAUUUUGAAUUAUUACUACGUCCCCGAACAGUGGCAUCAUGAGCUAGGUCUAUGCGUAGAUUCUAUGCAUGAGUAGAACACAAAGUAGUUGUGGGCGAUGAUUUGUUCAAUUUGCUUACCGUUACUAGUCUUAUCUUGAUUCGGCGGCAUUGUGGGAUGAAGCAGCCCGGACUGACCUUACACGUACUCUUACGUGAGACAGGUUCCACCGACUGACAUGCACUUGAUGCAUAAGGUGGCUAGCGGGUGUCUGUCUCUCCCACUUUAGUCGGAUCGGAUUCGAUGAAGAGGGUCCUUACGAAGGGUAAAUAGAAAUUGGCAUAUCACCGUUGUGGCUUUUGCGUAGGUAAGAAACGUUCUUGCUAGAAACCCAUAGCAGCCACGUAAAACAUGCAACAACAAUUAGAGGACGUCUAACUUGUUUUUGCAGGGUAUGCUAUGUGAUGUGAUAUGGCCAAAAGGAUGUGAUGAAUUAUAUAUAUGUGAUGUAUGAGAUUGAUCAUGUUCUUGUAAUAGGAAUCACGACUUGCAUGUCGAUGAGUAUGACAACCGGCAGGAGCCAUAGGAGUUGUCUUAAUUUAUUGUAUGACCUGCGUGUCAAUGAAAAACGCCAUGUAAUUACUUUACUUUAUUGCUAACUGUUAGCCAUAGUAGUAGAAGUAAUAGUUGGUGAGACAACUUCAUGAAGACACGAUGAUGGAGAUCAUGGUGUCAUGCCGGUGACGAAGGUGAUCAUGCCGCGCCUCGAAGAUGCAGAUCAAAAGGCGCAAGAUGAUAUUGGCCAUAUCAUGUCACUUUAUGAUUUGCAUGUGAUGUCUGUCAUGUUUACAUCUUAUUUGCUUAGAACGAUGGUAGCAUAAAUAAGAUGAUCCCUCACUAAAAUUUCAAGAGAUGUGUUCCCCCUAACUAUGCAUCGUUGCGAAGGUUCGUUGUUUCGAAGCACCACGUGAUGAUCGGGUGUGAUAGAUUCUAACGUUCGCAUACAACGGGUGUAAGCCAGAUUUACACAUGCGAAACACUUAGGUUGACUUGACGAGCCUAGCAUGUACAGACAUGGCCUCGGAACACAAGAGACCGAAAGGUCGAACAUGAGUUGUAUAGUAGAUACGAUCAACAUGGAGAUGUUCACCGAUGAUGACUAGUCCGUCUCACGUGAUGAUCGGACACGGCCUAGUUGACUCGGAUCAUGUAUCACUUAGAUGACUAGAGGGAUGUCUAUCUGAGUGGGAGUUCAUUAAAUAAUUUGAUUAGAUGAACUUAAUUAUCAUGAACAUAGUCAAAAGGUCUUUGCAAAUUAUGUCGUAGCUUACGCUUUAGUUCUACUAAGAUAUGUUCCUAGAGAAAAUUUAGUUGAAAGUUGAUAGUAGCAAUUAUGCGGACUGGGUCCGUAAACUGAGGAUUGUCCUCAUUGCUGCACAGAAAGCUUAUGUCCUUAAUGCGCCGCUCGGUGUGAUGAACCUCGAGCGUCGUUUGUGGAUGUUGCGAACAUCUGACAUACAUGUUUGAUGACUACGUGAUAGUUCAGUGCGUAAUGUUAAAACGGUAUAGAAUUGAGGCACCAAAGACGUUUUUGAAACGUCGCAGAACAUAUGAGAUGUUCCAAAGACUAAAAUUGGGAUUUCAGACUAGUGCCCAUGUCAAGAGGUAUGAGACCUCUGACAAGUUUCUUAAGCCUGCAAACUAAGGGAGAAAAGCUCAAUCAUUGAGCAUGUGCUCAGAUUGUCUAAGUACUACAAUCGCUUGAAUCGAGUGGGAGUUAAUCUUCCAGAUGAGAUAGUGAUGGUUCUCCAUAGUCACUGCCACCAAGCUAUUAGAGCUUCGUGAUGAACUAUAACAUAUCAGGGAUAGACAUGAUGAUCCUUGAGCAACUCGCGAUGUUUGACACCGCGAAAGUAGAAAUCAAGUAGGAGCAUCAAUUGUUGAUGGUUAGUAAAACCACUAGUUUCAAGAAGGGCACGGGCAACAAGGGAUACUUCAUGAAACGGCAAAUCAGUUGCAGCUCUAGUGAAGAAAGCCAAGGUUGAACCCAAACCCGAGACUAAGUGCUUCUGAGAUGAGGGGAACGGUCACUGAAGCAGAACUACCCUAGAUACUUCGUAGAUGAGAAGGCUGGUAAGGUCGACAGAAGUAUAUUGGAUAUACAUUAUAUUAAUGUGUAAUUUACUAGUACUCCUAGUAGCACCAGGGUAUUAGAUACCGGUUCGGUUGCUAAGUGUUGGUAACUCGAAAUAAAAGGCUACGGAAUAAACGGAGACUAGCUAAAGGUGAGAUGACGAUAUGUGUUGGAAGUGUUUCCAAGGUUGAUGUGAUCAAGCAUCGCAUGCUCCUUCUACCAUCGAGAUUGGUGUUAAACCUAAAUAAUUGUUAUUUGGUGUUUGCGUUGAGCAUAGACAUGAUUGGAUUAUGUUUAUCACAAUACGGUUAUUCAUUUAAGGAGAAUAAUGGUUACUCUGUCUAUUUGAAUAAUACCUUCAAUGGUCUUGCACCUAAAAUGAAUGGUUUAUUGAAUCUCGAUCGUAGUGAUACACAUGUUCAUGCCAAAAGAUAUAAGAUAGUAAUGAUAGUACCACAUACUUGUGGCACUGCCACUUGAGUCAUAUUGGUAUAAAACGCAUGAAGAAGCUCCAUGUUGAUGGAUCUUUGGACUCACUCGUUUUUGUAAAGAUUGAGACAUGCGAACCAUGUCUAUUAGUAUGAAGAAAGUCCAUACAAAUGGAUCGUUUGGACUCACUUGAUUUUGAAUCACUUGAGACAUGCAAAUCAUACCACAUGGACAAGAUGACUGAAAGGCCUCGUUUUCAGUAAGAUGGAACAAGAAAGCAACUUGUUGGAAGUAAUACAUUUUGUUGUGCGCAGUCCAAUGAGUGCUGAGGCAUGCAGUGGAUAUCGUUAUGUUCUUACUUCACAGAUGAUUUGAGUAGAUGCUGAGUGUAUUUACUUGAUGAAACACAAGUCUGAAUUAUUGAAAGAUUCAAGUAAUUUUAGAGUGAAAUUGUAGAUCGUCGUGACAAGAGGAUAAAAUGUCCGUGAUAUGUUCACAGAGAUGAAUAUCUGAGUUACGAGUUUGGCACACAAUUAAGAAAUUGUGGAAGAAAAUUCACGACUAAUACCGCCUGGAACACUAUAGUGUGAUGGUGUGUCCGAACAUCAUAACUGCACCCUAUUGGAUAUAGUGCAUACCAUGAUGUCUCUUAUCGAAUUACACUAUCGUUUAUGGGUUAGGCAUUAGAGACAACCGCAUUCACUUUAAAUAGAGCACCACGCAAUUCCGUUGAGACGACACCGUAUGAACUAUGGUUUAGAGAAACCUAAGCUCUCGUUUCUUAAAAGUUUGGGGCUGCGACGCUUAUGUGGAAAAGUUUCAGGCUGAUAAGUUCGAACCCAAAGCGGAUAAACGCAUCUUCAUAGAAUACCCAAAACAGUUGGGUAUACCUCCUAUUUCAGAUCUGGAAGCAAAAGUGAUUGUUUCUAGAAACGGGUCCUUUCUCGAGGAAAAGUUUCUCUCGAAAGAAUUGAGUGGGAGGAUGGUGGAGACUUGAUGAGGUCAUUGAACCGUCACUUCAACUAAUGUGUAGCAGGGCACAGGAAGUUGUUCCUGUGGCACCUACACCAAUUGAAGUGGAAGCUUAUGCUAGUGAUCAUGAAACUUCAGAUCAAGUCACUACCAAACCUCAUAGGACGACAAGGAUGCGUACUACUUCAGAGUGGUACGUAAUCCUGUCUUGGAAGUCAUGUUGUUGGACAACGAUGAACCUAUGAGCUAUGGAGAAGCGAUGGUGGGCCCGGAUUCCGACGAAUGGCUCGAGGCCAUAAAAUCCGAGAGAGGAUCCAUGUAUAAAAACAGAGUGUAGACUUUGGAAGAACUACUUGAUGGUCGUAAGGCUGUUGGGUGCAGAUGGAUUUUAAAAGGAAGACAGACAAUGAUGGUAAGUGUCACCAUUAAGAAAGCUCGACUUAUCGUUAAGAUGUUUUCCGGCAAGUUCAAGGAGUUGACUGCGAUGAGACUUUCUCACUCGUAGCGAUGCUAAGAGUCUGUUGGAAUUAUAUUAGCAGUUACUGCAUUAUUUAUGAAAUCUUGCAGAUAGGAUGUCAAAACAUUGUUUUCUCGACGAUUUUCUUGUGGAAAGGUUGUAUGUGAUACAACCAGAAGGUUUUGUCAAUCCUGAAAGAUGCUAACAAGUAUGCAAAGCUCCAGCAAUCCUUCUAAGGAAUGGAGUAAGCAUCUCGGAGUUGGAAUGUACGCUUUGAUGAGAUGAUCAAAGAUUUUGGGUUUAUACAAAGUUUAUGAGAAACUUGUAUUUCCAAAGAAGUGAGUGGGAGCACUAUAGAAUUUUUGAUGAGUAUAUGUUGUUAACAUAUUGUUGAUCAGAAAUGAUGUAGAAUUUCUGGAAACAUACAGGGUUAUUUGAAAAGUGUUUUUCAAUGGAAAACCUGGAUUAAGCUACUUGAACAUUGAGCAUCAAGAUCUAUAAGGAUAGAUCAAAAACGCUUAAUAGUACUUUCAAAUGAAUACAUACCGUGACAAGAUUUUGAAGGAGUUCAAAAUAGAUCAGCAAAGAAGGAGUUCCUGGCUGUGUUACAAGGUGUGAGUAUUGAGUAAGACUCAAGACCUGACCACGGCAGAAGAGAGAGAAAGGAUGAAGGUCGUCCCCUAUGCUUUAGACGUAGGCCCUACAGUAUGCUAUGCUGUGUACCGCACCUGAAGUGUGCCUUGCCAUGAGUUAGUCAAGGGGUACAAUAGUGAUCCAGGAAUGGAUCACAUGACAGCGGUCGAACUUAUCCUUAGUAACUAGUGGACUAAGGAAUUUUCUCGAUUAUGGAGGUGGUAAAAGAGUUCGUCAUAAAGGGUUACGUCGAUGCAAACUUUGACACUAAUCCGGAUGACUCUGAGUAGUAAACCGGAUUCGUAUAGUAGAGCAGUUAUUUGGAAUAGCUCCAAGUAGCGCGUGGUAGCUGCAUCUACAAGAUGACAUAGAGAUUUGUAAAGCACACACGGAUCUAAAUGUUGCAGACCCGUUGACUAAUAACCUCUCUCACAAGCGAGAUAUGAACAAACCCCAUGGGUGUUGGAUUCAUUACAAUCACAUAGUGAUGUGAACUAGAUUAUUGACUCUAGUGCAAGUGGGAGACUGUUGGAAAUAUGCCCUAGAGGUAAUAAUAAAAUGGUUAUUAUUGUAUUUCCUUGUUCAUGAUAAUUGUCUAUUGUUCAUGCUAUAAUUGUAUUAACUGGAAACCGUAAUACAUGUGUGAAUAAAUAGACCACAACAUGUCCCUAGUAAGCCUCUAGUUGACUAGCUCGUUGAUCAAUAGAUGGUUAUGGUUUCCUGACCAUGGACAUUGGAUGUCAUUGAUAACGGUAUCACAUCAUUAGGAGAAUGAUGUGAUGGACAAGACCCAAUCCUAAGCAUAGCACAAGAUCGUGUAGUUCGUUUGCUAAGAGCUUUUCUAAUGUCAAGUAUCAUUUCCUUAGACCAUAAGAUUGUGCAACUCCCGGAUACCGUAGGAAUGCUUUGGGUGUACCAAACGUCACAACGUAACUGGGUGGCUAUAAAGGUACACUACAGGUAUCUCCGAAAGUGUCUGUUGGGUUGGUACGAAUCGAGACUGGGAAUUGUCACUCUGUAUGACGGAGAGGUAUCUCUGGGCCCACUCGGUAAUGCAUCAUCAUAAUGAGCUCAAUGUGACUAAGGAGUUAGCCACGGGAUCAUGAGUUACAGAACGAGUAAAGAGACUUGCCGGUAACAAGAUUGAACGAGGUAUUGGGAUACCGACGAUCGAAUCUCGGGCAAGCAACAUGCCGAUUGACAAAGGGAAUUGUAUACGGGAUUGAUUGAAUCCCCGACAUCGUGGUUCAUCCAAUGAGAUCAUCGUGGAACAUGUGGGAGCCAAUAUGGGUAUCCAGAUCCCACUAUUGGUUAUUGGCCGGAGAGAUGUCUCGGUCAUGUCUGCAUGGUUCCCGAACCCGUAGGGUCUACACACUUAAGGUUCGGUGACGCUAGAGUUGAUAUGGGAAAUAGUAUGUGGUUACUGAAGGUUGUUCGGAGUCCCGGAUAGGAUCCCGGACGUCACGAGGAGUUCCGGAAUAGUCCGGAGGUAAAGAUUUAUAUAUGGGAAGUCAUCAUACGGUCACCGGAAGUAUUCGGGGGUAUGCCGGUAUUGUACCGAGGCCAUCGAAGGGGUUCCGGAGGUCCACCGGGAGGGUCCACCUGCCCCGGAGGGCCUUAUGGGCUGUAGGUGGAAGGGAACCAGCCCCUAAGUGGGCUGGGCACCAACCUCCCCCUAGGGCCCAUGCGCCUAGGGUUGGGGGAAACCCUGGAGGGGGCGCCCCCCUUGACUUGGGGGGCAAGCCACCCUCCCUGGCCGCCGCCCCUCCCACCAGAUGGGAUCUAAGGGGCCGGCCCCCCUCUCCCUUGCCCCUAUAUAUAGUGGAGGGGUGGGAGGGCAGCCGCACCCCUGGCCUGGCACAGCCCUCUCCUCCUCCAACUCCUCCUCUUCCUCCGUAGUGCUUAGCGAAGCUCUGCCGGAGAACCACGAGCUCCAUUGCCACCACGCCGUCGUGCUGCUGGAGUUCUCCCUCAACUUCUCCUCUCCCCUUGCUGGAUCAACAAGGAGGAGACGUCCCCGGUCUGUACGUGUGUUGAAUGCGGAGGCGCCGUCCGUUCGGCGCUAGAUCGGAUCUUCCGCGAUUUGAAUCGCUGCGAGUACGACUCCAUCAACCGCGUUCUUGUAACGCUUCCGCUUAGCGAUCUUCAAGGGUAUGAAGAUGCACUCCCUCUCUCUCGUUGCUAGCAUCUCCUAGAUUGAUCUUGGUGACACGUAGGAAAAUUUUGAAUUAUUACUACGUUCCCCAACAGUCAGGACCUCGAGCACUGUUUGCCGCGUCUCAAGAGGGAGCCCGGACUCCUGAAGCCUCAUAUGGUCCUGACUGCUGAGCAAAGCCCACAUCGGGCGAGAAUGGCGCUGAAGCGGAGCCACUCGGCGCCUGACGAACUCCUUCACCACCAUAGGCGUAGUCACACCGCGGUCCUUCAACCUCCUCAGCCUGAGCCAGACGGGGACAAGACGGGAGCUCGCGAGCCUCUCGUGGCCCCAACCGGAGUUGGGAACUGCAGGUGCUGACGGAGAAUGGAGCAGAGGGCUGAGCACCCUGGCGUCGACAAAUACCCACCGUGUCCGAAACUCGCUCGUGGAUAGAGGAAGCUCGAAGUCGAUCCCCGCGCCUACCGUCGCAGCCACCGCUUGGAAGCUCACGCACCCCGAGCUUUGCCGAGGAUCCAUCAGAUGCAAUGAGAAGAAAUGACGGAGAAGGGCCACGGAAGGGGCAAUGCCCACCAUGGCCUCACACACAAAGGCAAAGACGGCGAGGAGAGUCACGGAUUGGGGGUCGAGAUGCAGCAUGUGGAUCUGGUAAUGUUCAAGCACCGCCUUGAAGAAGGCGGAGAAAGGGGGAAUCAGGCCGGCCCAAAGGGCAUCGAUGAAGAUUGGGACCUCGGUGGUUGCCCGGUCAAUGCGAGCGCGGGACGCAGGCCAAGCCACCGUCCUUCCCCACUCGUUGAAGCUGGUGGCGAGCAUGGGACGCACCUUGCCCAUGGCCUCAUCGUUGAGCACCGGCGACCGGCCAACUGUGGGCUCGACGGCCAGAGGCACACUUGUCGAAGACAGAGGCUUCUUCCCCUUGUCCGCUUGUUUCGGCGCCAUGGCGAUGAAGUGAGCAGAGCUCGGGUCAAAUCGGAAGGAAGAGCAGAGUCUCGGGGAGACAGAGGAAUUGGGGAAGUAUGGCGUGGGCGAUGGAAGAAUAACUGUGUAGGGUGCGGUGGCCGCCUAGCCAGGCAGGUAUCAAGGCAGCGUGGGGAAGCGGAGACGCCCACGUCUAAUCAACUGCCACGCGUCGACCAAGGCCGCAGGCUUUUGGGGCCCGCGGCGCUCCGCACUUAACCUUUGGCUUCGCCUCGAAGCCAAGCCCAAGCGCGCCUUGGGCCCGGGGGCUACUGUCGGCGUUCUAGGAACGGGGGUCCCCAGACUUGCCUGCCUGCGGCCCACGGCGUGGCUGUGCUAGCAGGCAUGUACGGCCCAUCUUCAUCAACAAGGCAUCCAAGACCCUCGCGAGGGGCCAAGCCUCGCGAGGCGUACGACACAAGACCACCUCAGGAGCGGCCUCACCAGGUUGGCUCGCGAGGGGUGGAGAGAUCAAGGCAAGGCAAACCUCGCGAGGUUCUCGUGACGUGAGCCAUGACGAUCGAGACCAGGCGGGCGCCAGCGCGAGCAGUGUCCUUGUUUCCCCUUUGGUGCUAAGGAAGCAGGCGCAUGCGCAGAGUACCGAGGCGUCAAGCAAAGGUUUCCAUAUCGGUGCAACAAGACCAAGACCAGCAGGACGGCAAGACGGAGGUCACCAUGGAGCCCAAGGCGGCGUCACCACCAGAGCCUUUUGCAGGCGAAGACCGCUUUUGUCAGGAUAAGUUGUACUAGUUGUCCCCUUUCAAAUUGGCCGUUGUUGGCUCCCUUCCCGCUCAAUAUUUGGGAAGAGGACCAGGGCCUAUAUAAGUAGAACCAGCCACCACCGUAGGGGACACCAAGUUUGGAGCUCACAAGCAAGCCUGAGCUGAGUGAAUCCACACACACAAGUUCGCCAAGCACAAGAGCACCUCAACCUCAGGAGGCUGUUCUUCCCCUUGUACUGUUCAUCAUCAGCCCAAGAGGCAAUCCACCACCACCACACUAGAGUAGGGUAUUACACCACAACGGUGCCCAAACCACUAUAAAUCUUGUGUCUCUUGUGUUGUGAGUUCGUUGAGUUCGUCUUCGAGAUCUUAGCAAGCUAGGGAGUGGAUCGGUAGGGGGGAAAGAACUUCGCACGCACCCCAGAGUUCGAACCUUAAGGGUUUUGCCAGAACCCGUGAUCCGACAAUCGCUACCACUUUCUUAAUGUCAAAUACAAAUUCCUUCAACCAUGAGAUCAUGCAACUCCCGGAUACCAGAGGAAUACCUUGUGUGCUAUCAAAUGUCACAAUGUAAUUGGGUGAUCAUAAAGAUGCUCUACAGGUAUCUCCAAAGGUGUCUGUUGAGUUGGCAUGAAUCAAGAUUGGGAUUUGUCACUCCGUAUAUCGGAGAGGUAUCUCUGGGCCCUCUAGGUAAUACAACAUCACGAGAAUCUUGUAAGCAAAUUGACUAAGGAGUUAGUUACGACAUGAUCUAUUACAGAAUGAGUAAAGUGACUUGCCAGUAACGAGAUUCAACUAGGUAUGAAGAUACCGACGAUCGAAUCUCAGGCAAGUAACAUACCGACAGACAAAGAGAAUUACGUAUGUUGUCAUAAGGUUCGACCGAUAAAGAUCUUCGCGGAAUAUGUAGGAAUCAAUAUGGGCAUACAUGUCCUGCUAUUGGUUAUUGACCGGAGAGGUGUCUCGGUCAUGACUACAUAAUUCCCGAACCCGCAGGGUUGCACGCUUAUGGUUGUCGCUUUAUUGUAUGAAAUGCAAUCGCCAUGUAAUUGCUUUACUUUAUCACUAAGCGGUAGCGACAGUCGUAGAAGCAAUAGUUGGAGAGACGACAACGAUGCUACGAUGGAGAUCAAGGUGUCAAGCCGGUGACGAUGGGGAUCAUGACGGUGCUUUGGAGAUGGAGAUCAAAGGCACAAGAUGAUGAUGGCCAUAUCAUGUCACAUAUUUUGAUUGCAUGUGAUGUUUAUCCUUUAUACAUCUUAUUUUGCUUAGUACGACAGUAGCAUUAUAAGAUGAUCCCUCACUAAAUUUCAAGGUAUAAGUGUUCUCCCUGAGUAUGCACCGUUGCUACAGUUCAUCAUGCUGAGACACCAUGUGAUGAUCGGGUGUGAUAAGCUCUACGUUCACAUACAACGGGUGCAAGCCAGUUUUGCACGUGCAAAAUACUCAGGUUAAACUUGACGAGCCUAGCAUAUGCAGAUAUGGCCUCGGAACACUAAGACCUAAAGGUCGAGCGUGAAUCAUAUAGUAGAUAUGAUCAACAUAGUGAUGUUCACCAUUGAAAACUACUCCAUCUCACGUGAUGAUCGGACAUGGUUUAGUUGAUCUGGAUCACGUGAUCAUUUAGAUGACUAGAGGGAUGUCUAUCUAAGUGGGAGUUCUUAAGUAAUAUGAUUAAUUGAACUUUAAUUUAUCAUGAACUUAGUCCUGAUAGUUUUCCAUAUCUAUGUUGUAGAUCAAUAGCUCGCGUAUAGCUCCCCUGUUUUAUUUUUGAUAUGUUCCUAGGGAAAAAUAAGUUGAAAGAUGAUAGUAGAAAUGAUGUGGACUGGGUCCGUGAGCUGAGGAUUAUCCUCAUUGCUGCACAGAAGAAUUAUGUCCUUGAUGCACCGCUAGGUAACAGACCUAUUGCAGGAGCAGAUGCAGACAUUAUGAACGUUUGACAAGCUCGGUAUGAUGACUACUUGAUAGUUUAGUGCACCAUGCUUUACGGCUUAGAACCGGGACUUCAAAAACGUUUUGAACGACAAGGAGCAUAUAAGAUGUUCCAAGAGUUGAAAUUGGUAUUUUAGACUCAUGCCCGAGUCAAGAGGUAUGCGACCUCUGACAAGUACUUUGCCUACAAGAUGGAGGAGAAUAGCUCAACCAGUGAGCAUGUGCUUAGAUUGUCUGAGUACUACAAUCGCUUGAAUCAAGUGGGAGUUAAUCUUCCAGAUAAAAUAGUGAUUGACAGAGUUCUCUAGUCACUAUCACCAAGUUACUGGAACUUCGUGAUGAACUAUAUGCAAUGGAUGACGAAAACGAUUCCCGAGCUCUUCGUGAUGCUGAAAUCGACGAAGGUAGAAAUCAAGAAAAGCAUCAAAUGUUGAUGGUUCACAAGACCACUAGUUUCAAGUAAAAGGGCAAGGGAAAGAAAGGGAACUUCAAGAAGAAUGGCAAGCAAGUUGCCACUCCCAUGAAGAAGCCCAAAGCUAGACCCAAGCCUGAAACUAAGUGCUUCUACUGCGAAGGAAAUGGUCACUGGAAGCGGAACUACCCCAAAUACUUGGCGGAUAAGAAGGAUGGAAAAGUGAACAAAGGUAUAUUUGAUAUACACGUUAUUGAUGUGUUGCUUACUAAUGCUCGUAGUAGCGCCUGGGUAUUUGAUACUGGUUCGGUUGCUCAUAUUUGUAACUCGAAACAGGAGCCGCAAAAUAAACGAAGAUUGGCUAAGGGCGAGGUGACGAUGUGUGUUGGAAGUGUUUCCAAGAUUAAUAUGAUCACCAUCGCACGCUCCCUCUACCUUCGGGAUUAAUGUUGAGCCUAAUAAAUGUUAUUUGGUGUGUGCGUUGAGCAUGAACAUGAUUAGAUCGUGUUUAUCGCAAAUACGGUUAUUCAUUUAAGUCAGAGAAUAAUUGUUGUUUUGUUUACAUGAAUAAAACUUUAUAUGGUCAUACACCCAAUGUAAAUGGUUUAUUGAAUCUCGAUCGUAGUGAUACACAUAUUCAUAAUAUUGAUGCCAAAAGAUGCAAAGUUGAUAAUGGUAGUGCAACAUACUUGUGGCACUGCCGUUUAGGUCAUAUUGUUGUAAAGCGCAUGAAGAAACUCCAUGCGGAUGGACUUUUGGAAGCACUUGAUUAGGAAUCAUUUGAUACUUGCGAACCAUGCCUCAUGGGUAAGAUGACUAAAACUCUGUUCUCCUGAACAAUGGGGUGAGCUAAUGACUUAUUGGAAAUAAUACAUACCGAUGUAUGCGUUCGAUGAGUGUUGAAGCACGCGGCGGGCAUCAUUAUUUUCUGGCCGUCACAGAUGAUUUAAGCAGGUAUGGAUAUAUCUACUUGAUGAAACUCAAGUCUGAAACAUUUGAAAAGUUCAAGGAAUUUUAGAGUGAAGUGGAGAAUCAUUGUAACAAGAAAAUAAAGUUUCUACGAUCUGAUCACGGAGGCGAAUAUUUGAGUUACAAAUUUGGCCUUCAUUUAAAACAAUGUGGAAUUGUUUCACAGCUCACUCCACCUAGAACACCACAGCAUAAUGGUGUGUUUGAACGUCGUAACUGUACUUCAUUAGAUAUGGUGUGUUCUAUAAUGUCUCUUAUCGAUUUGCCUUUAUCAUUUUGGGGUUAUGCAUUAGAGACAGCUGCAUUCAUGUUAAAUAGGGCACCGUCUAAAUCCGUUGAGGCGACACCAUAUGAACUUUGGUUUGGCAAGAAACUAAGAUGUGGUUUCUUAAAGUUUGGGGAUGUGACACUUAUGUCAAAAGGCUUCAGCCUGAUAAGCUCGAACCCAAAUCGGAGAAGUGUGUCUUCAUAGGAUACCCUAAAGAAACUAUUGGGUACACCUUCUACCACAGAACUGAAGGCAGUAUCUUUGUUGCUAAGAAUGGGUCCUUUCUAGAGAAGGAGUUUCUCUCGAAAGAAGUGAGUGGGAGGAAAGUAGAACUUGAUGAGGUAAUUGUACCUUCUCUCGAAUUGGAAAGUAGAACAUCAGAGAAAACCAUUCCCGUGAUGCCUACACCAACUAGAGAGGAAGCUAAUGAUAAUGAUCAUGAAACUUUAGAUCAAGUUACUAUUGAACUUCGUAGGUCAACCAGAACACGUUCCGCACGAGAGUGGUACGGUGAUCCUGUCCUUGAAGUCAUGUUGUUAGACAACGGCGAACCUACGAACUAUGAAGAAGCUAUGAUGAGCCCAAAUUCUGACAAAUGCCUUGAGGCCGUGAAAUCUGAGAUAGGAUCCAUGUAUGAAAACAAAGUAUGGACUUUGGUGGACUUGCCGAUGAUCGACAAGCCAUUAAGAAUAAAUGGAUCUUCGAGAGGAAGACGGACGUUGAUGGUAAUAUCACUGUCUGCAAAGCUCGACUUGUCGCAAAAGGUUUUUGACAAGUUCAAGGGGUUGACUACGAUGAGACUUUCUCACCCGUAGAGAUGCUUAAGUCUGUCCGAAUCAUGUUAGCAAUUGCCGCAUUUUAUGAUUAUGAAAUCUAGCAAAUGGACGUCAAAACUGCAUUCCUUAAUGGGUUCCUUAAAGAAGAGUUGUAUAUGAUGCAACCAGAAGGUUUUGUCGAUCCUAAAGGUGCUAACAAAGUAUGCAAGCUCCGGCGAUCCAUUUAUGGACAGGUGCAGGCAUCUCGGAGUUGGAAUAUACGCUUUGAUGAGAUGAUCAUAGCAUAUGGUUUUAUACAGACUUAUGAUGAAGCCUGUAUUUAUAAGAAAGUGAGUGGGAGCUCUGUAGCAUUUCUGAUAUUAUAUGUGGAUGACAUAUUGUUGAUUGGAAAUGAUAUAGAAUUUUUGGAUAGCAUAAAAGGAUACUUGAAUAAGAAUUUUUCAAUGAAAGACCUCGGUGAAGCUACUUACAUAUUGAGCACCAAGAUCUAUAGGGAUAGAUCGAGACGCUUAAUAGGACUUUCACAAAGUACAUACCUUGGCAAAGUUUUUGAAGAAGUUCAAAAUAGAUUAGUCAAAGAAAGGGUUCUUGCCUGUGUUGCAAGGUGUGAAGUUGAGUAAGACUCAAACCCGACCACGGCAGAAGAUAGAAAGAGAAUGAAAGUCAUUCCCUAUGCCUCAGCCAUAGGUUCUAUAAAGUAUGCCAUGCUGUGUACCAGACCUAUUGUAUGCCUUGCCAUGAGUUUGGCAAGGGGGUACAAUAGUGAUCCAAGAGUGGAUCACUGGACAACGGUCAAAAUUAUCCUUAGUUACCUAAGAGGACUAAGGAAAUGUUUCUCGGUUAUGGAGGUGAUAAAGCGUUCAUCGUAAAGGGUUACAUCGAUGCAAACAUUGAUACCGAUUCGGAUGACUCUGAGUCUCAAUAUGAAUAUGUAUUGAAAGUGGGAGCAAUUAGCUAGAGUAGCUCCAUGCAGAGCAUUGAAGACAUAGAAAUUUGAAAAAUACAUAUGGAUCUGAUAUGGCAGAUCGUUGACUAAACCUCUCUCACAAACAAAACAUGAUCACACCUUAGUACUCUUUGGGUAUUAAUCACAUGUCGAUGUGAACAAGAUUAUUGACUCUAGUAAAGUCUUUAAGUGUUAGUCACAUGGAGAUGUGAAUUAUAGGUGUUAAUCACAUGGCGAUGUGAACUAGAUUAUUGACUCUAGUGCAAGUGGGAGACUGAUGGAAAUAUGCCCUAGAGGAAAUAAUAAAGUUGUUAUUAUUAUAUUUCCUUAUUCAUGAUAAAGGUUUAUUAUUCAUGCUAGAAUUGUAUUGACCAGAAACUUAAAUACAUGUGUGAAUACAUAAACAAAUAUCGUGUCCCUAGUGAGCCUCUAGACUAGCUCGUUGAUCAAGAGAUGAUUAAGGUUUCCUAACCAUAGACAUGUGUUGUCACUUGAUAACGGGAUCACAUCAUUAGGAGAAUGAUGUGAUGGACAAGACCCAUCCGUUAGCAUAGCAUAUGAUCGUUCAGUUUAUUGCUACCACUUUCUUAAUGUCAAAUACAUAUUCCUUCGACCAUGAGAUCAUGCAACUCCCGGAUACCGGAGGAAUACCUUGUGUGCUAUCAAACGUCACAAAGUAAUCGGGUGAUCAUAAAGACGCUCUACAGGUAUCUCCGAAGGUGUCUGUUGAGUUCGCAUGACUCAAGAUUGGGAUUUGUCACUCUGUAUAUCGGAGAGGUAUCCUUGGGCCCUCUCGAUAAUACAACAUCACAAGAAGCUUGCAAGCAAAGUGACUAAGGAGUUAGUUACGAGAUGAUGUAUUACAUAACGAGUAAAGAGACUUGCUAGUAACGAGAUUGAACUAGGUAUGAAGAUACCGAUGAUCGAAUUUCAGGCAAGUAACAUACCGACAGACAAAGCGAAUUACGUAUGUUGUCAUAAGGUUCGACCGAUAAAGAUCUUCAUGGAAUAUGUAGGAAUCAAUAUGGUCAUCCAGGUCCCACUAUUGGUUAUUGACCGAAGAGGAGUUUCGAUCAUGACUACAUAAUUCCCGAACCCGGAGGGUCGCACGCUUAACGUUCGUUGACGCUAGAGUAGUAUUGGGAUAUUUGAUGAGUGGUAACCAAUUUUUGUUCGGAGUCCCGGAUGAGAUCCCAGACAUCACGAGGAGUCUCGGAAUGGUUGAGAGGUAAAGAUUUAUAUAUGGGAAGUCAUAUUUUGGGUUCCGAAAAAAGGUGCAAUUUUUUCGGUAUUGUACUAGGAAGCUUGCAGAAGGUUCCGGAGGAUUCCGGAGGGGUCCAGAAGUCCACAGGUGGUUCCACUCCGACCCAAUGGCUAGCAUGGCUGCAGGGAAGUGCCCUGGCUUUAUUGGGCUAGACGCACCUAGUCCUCAAAAGCCCAUGUGGCUAGGGAAGGCAAAAAAGGAAGGAGUCCUAGUAGGAAUAGGAUUGGACUUGGAGUCCAAGUCCUCUCCCCCUUAGCUGCGCCCUAGGGCUUGGAGAGGCUGUUUCCCAUGCACCUUCACCUAUAUAUAGAGGAGAGAGGGCACCCCAAGAGGCCACACCAAGCCCUUGGCGCCCCUCUCUCUCCCAUUACUCCAUAGUUCCACCGCCUCGUCCAAGCGACGCUUAGCGAAGCGCUGUCGCUGCUCCACCACCACCAUCACCACCACGCCGUCGUGUUGGUUGUGAUCCCAUCUACUUCUCUUCUCCUGCUCGCUGGAUCAAGAAGGAGGAGACGUCAUCGAGUCGCACGUGUGCUAAACUCGGAGGUGCCAUCCGUUCGGCACUAGAUCGGUUGGAUCAUGAUCGGAUCGCAAAGAGUACGACUACAUCAACCGCGUGAUAAACUCUUUCGCUUAGCGAUCUAUAAGCGUAUGUAGAUGCUCUCCCCAUCUCGUAGCUAUGCAUCUCCAUGGAUAGAUAUUGCGUGUACAUAGAAUUGUUUUUGUUUUCCAUGCAACGUUCCCCAACAGAACCGUUUGUUGCCUAACUCGAGACCACCUUGGAUAGGCUUUUUCCUCGUGGGUCCCAAAUGUCAGAAUCCAAAUCUGUCAUGGCCAUGCAGCCUUUGUUAUGAAAAUUUACAACCCAUUUGGUGUGCUAGUCCAAAAUAAGUUUGUGGGUGCUGAUGGGGGCUAAUCACUUGGGUUCUGUAAUGCACAGUGAGCUCAAGCAGCCGGCGAGAGUGAUGUUUAUUUCCCUUGGUUGGGAUUUGUUACAAUAUUUCUCCCUUAAUUAAACAAAUGGCAAGCCAUUUGCCUUGUUUCAAAGAAAAUAUGACAGUCACAGCCGAGUUGAAAAGGGCAACAACAUCUAACUCCAGCUUACAAACUGUACAAAGCACGACGGUUAAUUGUUCAUCAGGUUUAGACAAAACACAGAUUGAAAAGUGCAACAACAUCUAACUCUAGCACUUUUUUCGGCAGUCACAAUCAAAUGGGUCGGUUAGGUCCAUAGAAUGAACAUCCUGAUCGUAAAAUUUACUAGAUUAUGACCACAAGAUGUUGUAAAUAGAAGUCUGGCACGUUCAGAAGCCCUUUUGUCCACCUGAAACUCCUCUUUUUGCUCUUCUACAUACCCAUCCGUCAAAACCAUGUUGCUGAUAAACUUAAGCAUGAUGGACAAUAGUAACCUCGCUCAGCAGGAAGAAUGUGACAAAUCUAGUGUUUGCAUGGUUGGCUACAUAUCGUUCCAACGUUAUUGUCCUCAAUCGAAUGUCAUGAGAACUCGGAAAAUCCCCGUUCUUACGAAACCACUGAUUGGUUAGAACUUUCUUACCCCGUCCUAUUGCCUAAAUAGACAUGAAGAUUGAAAACAGUUAAGGUCUAAAAAAAGAGUGUCGAAAGUGCAAUAGUUGAACGGUUAUUUCUAGUACACUAUAUGCGGGCUUCCAAUGUGCGUGAAAUUAUCACCUUUAUAUACAACUUCUCCGGACAUGGAAAGCAUUGCAGCAAGCCAAUAAUCUUGUUCAGAUCAAAACUAUUCAUAUGGAUAUAUAAGAUCUUGACAGAAUCCAGCACCAUUGAUAGGCUAUCCAUGGACAAACUCUUCAUUGAGCAUAGAACAUAAUAUUAGUACAAAAAGUGUACUCCAAGAUGAUAUAGAACUUAUGCGCGGAAAUUUAAAAUGUAGCUUAUGAUUACAAGUGAGGAUGAUAAUAUACAGUACCUGAAGAACUGUGGAGCCAAACACCAUCUUGAAAUGAGCAUAGAGAUCAUGUAUUACACCCAAGGUCUCCAGUUUAGGUGCAGAGACUACAGUUAUUUCCGACGGUGAAUAACGAGAAUCAAGGAUCAACCUUUGAAGUGAAGGGGCAUCUUCGAUGAUGAGCUGCCUUCUGUCAAAAGAAAUACCAAUUCUUACAAGGUUAGGCGACUUUAUUUGGAGACAACAGAUUCUAACUGCCAAAACAAGCACCAAGCACUCCAGGGCAAGGCAACUGGAGUGGAUGAUGUUGUGCAAUGAGGCCUCCGACAUACAAACCCGCACAAGUGAAAGUUUGUUGAGAAGUGGGAGUCGAAGCUUUUGUACCAAAUUUUCUGGUAGGAUGAACAGCGCAAAGGUGGCGGUGUGGAGAAAGGAGGAAAACCCCAAGAUGGACAUCGCCGCUGCUCCCUGAACCCAAGAAAUUCUGCCUCGUUCCCGUGAAACCAAGCGGCCCACCCGUAUUAAGGCAUCGACUCGAACUCAAUCCCUCUCCCGUUUACUACGACAUGGACCCCGCACGCCGUAGUACUCCUCAAAACCCUACCCGCCGCAUGCAUCAUCGGUUUUCUUAAAGAGGACGAGGGAGAAGCGGAUUUAUAGUGGAGGCUCCUACCCUAGGGCGCCCUAAGUAGCUGCCGCACGCAUCAUUGGUCUUCUUUUUUUCUUUAUGCUCUUGCGCCUUAGAGUGAAAUGAUGGUUGCUUCGUCUGUCCGGCUUAAUGCGGGAAAGGUGGGGCUUUGUGAUUUGACCCCUCAUCGCUCAUUUACUACUACUGCGGCGCUACGACCGGGCUACCUCCAAGUCCAAGCGCUGCUCCGGACUAUAAUUUGGUGCAUCGCACAUGGAACAAGACAGUGGAUAACCCACAUGUCGGCCAAAGGGGUCUUGUAAGUGUGUCGCCAUUUCCUGUGCGGACUGACCCUACUAAGUUGCUACGCCAACGCGACAGGAGCAGCCUGCCACUUGGUUUUGCUCAUUGGUGAAUCCUGACUAUAUUGAUCUAAAAAGAUAGUAUAUAGAUUAGCAAAAAUGAGGUGAUUUUACCCAGCGGUGGGCGGGGGAGCAUGGCCUGUCAUGCGGUCCCACAUGUCAUGAUGUACCAAGUCGAUGCACAUCCUCUUGAGGCAAAACAAUGGCAGAAGCAAUACAUGGUUUUCUUGUAGGAGAUGACGGAGAAGCGGAUUCAGCGAAGUGUGAAAUAAUGGUUGCUACGUCCGUCUGCGGGAAAGGUGCGGCUUUGUGAUUUGACGUAUCAUUGCUCAUUACUACUACUGGGGCGCUACGACUGGGGUGCGUCCCCCGUGUUGUUCUGCACUAUUAUUUAGUGCAUGACAUGUCGACCCGGUUCCUAUAUGUCCCACAUGUCGGCGAGAGGAAGUACAACAUUCAUGAAAGCAAGCGUCUCCACUCUUAGGACGAUAGAGGAGUACAAGACAUGGCUUGGUUUUUGCUGCUUCGCGCGAUCCAUCGAUACAAACCCAGACUAAAAAAGGCGAGGGCGGGUCUUUUCGUGCGCGGUAGGAAGGGGAGUUUGGCAUAGUCUGUUCAACAGACGAUAGAAAGAUGUGAUGAAAUGCUUGAAUGUGUAUUGGGCCCUUUUUUCUUUAUUUUUUUUCCAAGUGGACCCUUUCAGAUCACUACAACUACUAGCGUCCACGGUGUUGAUUACUGGUUUAUUGGUCCCCUUUGUAAUUUGUGCUAAAGUUUGGCCAAAGAUUUAAUUGAUAAAAUGUUAGUGCAUGUCAACAUAAAUCAUAUCAUUGGAUUCGUAUUUGAACAUAAUUUUCAAUGAUAUAAUUUUUUAUGACAUGCAUUAACAUUUUGUUAGUUAAAUAUAUGGUCAAAAUUGGCACAAAAUAUGAUGUGGAACGACAAAUCAGGAUGGAGGUACCCCCACACGGUCGAUCCAGCGCGCUGUAGUAGUACCUUCCUUUUUUCUGCUCGGAUUGCCCAAUGAGCACCAAGCAAAAAGUGCAUGCAUUGGCCUAGACACAUGUAGCCAUCAACACGAGUAAUCAAUUCCUAUUCACAUGACCUUGUUUUUCUGGCUGCAUGGGGAAGAACAACGAGGCAGGAAGGGAAACAAGCAAAUAAGGUUGAGCGACUUAGUUUUGGGAAAAUCUGAUUUUACGGAGUACGUACCCACUAUGGAGGUAGUACUACUUACUACUCACUCCUUUUCGGUUUAUAAGGCUCAUCAAAAAAUAGUUUUCCUGUUUUAUAAGUCUCAAUUCUACUACUUACCAUCACAUGUUUGGAUUUCGAGGUGCAUUAAAUCACCCGAUGCAAGUACUAUCAAGAGAAAACUCACCAAUGCAUGUAGAAGUUCAUGGAAAUUUAGUGGUCAUGCAUGCAUGCAUUGUAAUUAAUGCAUCGGUAAACAUAGAUUUUUGAGAAAAAUGAGCGUACUAAUUAAGUCCUUGUGCAAACUACGAAAUUUAUUCCACCACUCACCGUCUACCUUCAUUGGAGAGAUUUUGAAACUGAGCCUUCUAAACCAAAAAGGAGGGACUAGUAACAUAGACUAGGGUAGCUUGAUGUAGCACGGACUCCAAGGAAAUUGUUGUAGUACUACUCCUCCACUUGAGGUCAUCCACUUGAGGGAAAAUUGCUACUGUCCUAUAAAACUCUGCGCUUGGAGGGCCAACACGUGUCUACAAGAAUAAAGUUGCGUAGCAGACAUCAGCACGUGUCAACCGUUUCCUGCAAAAUUCUGAGUAACUGAACAGAAUGCGAAGGGUUUGAGGGAGGGCAACCGCCAAAACAGGUGAAGCAAUUGAGGAAGAUUUUAUUCGCGACCAAGGACGUCGGAAGGAAAUCUCCUUCAGAUCAAGUGCAUGCUUAUGACACGAAGAUCAGAGAGAAAAACGGAAUAGGAAUUGAAACGAAAACACAAAAGAAAAACAACUGAAAAAGAGAGCAAGAACACUACGAACAAAAACAAGAAAGCAGAAGCACCAACAAUGAUUGCACUCGGGGCAUAGGAUGAGAGUGUGAUAUCCCUGAGAGUGUUUCCUGCAAGAAAUGAUUAGUUCUUCUUCACAACCCACACCUGUGUGGGAGGUGAUGACCUCAUUUGCUUCACCUGGCUUAGGAUAUUUCUUCGACGUGACACCUGAGUACUAUGAUAAUAAUCAUAUGAAUAUGCAUUGAAGUUGCUUCCUGAUGCAUUAGUGUAAUGAUUAGAUGAUAUGCGCAAGUACUCCUUCUGACGCAAGUGAGGGUGAUGAUCAUUCGAGAAUGAUGAUUGAUUCGGCUGCGAAUUGUAGCCAUUUCCUCGUCAAGGAUUAUCCUGCACAAUCAGAUUAGCAGUAACACAUAGAUUUUCAAUGAUAUUUUUCUUCACCCAAAUUUGCUUCUUGGGAGAGCUUGGCCUGCAGUUAGUUCCAACAUAUUGAGCGAAAACCUUACCAUUCUAUUGCUUGAAAAGUUUGUAAUUUGAGUCGGUUUCAAUAGAAAUGGGCGAAAGAUAACCAGAUAGAAUUUCAGGUUCAAGGGUUUAACUAUUUGCUCGAAUCCAAGUUGUACGAGGAUAUUGUUCGGGAGUCCAGUACGAACCAUCCACAUUAAGUUUCUUUUUGAAACCUAAUCCUUCCUUCUGAGGAUUUUUGUGAAGAAUUGACUUCUUGAGCACAUCACAUAGGGUUUGAUGCCCUUUCAGGCUCCCUAGCAUUCCAGUCUCAAGUAAGCCUCUUAACCUGCAAUUUUCUUCAGUAAGAGCAGCAAAAUCCUCGGAAGAGGGGUUAGUGGUGCCAUUAGAAGUAGUGGUGUUCUCUUUCACAGCAUUGGAAGUUUCAGCAUGAGAAUCUGCAUUGCUACGUUCUAGGCAAGUUAAGCAUGGGGUACAAAACCAUCAGGAAGUUGAACAGAUUGCCCGGCGAAGAGAGAAGCUUUUUCUAAAGCCAUUUCUUUAUGAGACACUCUUUCAGUGACACGAGUUCUUGAUUCCUGCUGAGGAGUUCAUUUGAUAAACUCUCGUAGUCAACUGCAAGUGAGUCAUAUCAAAUGGUAAGAUUAUCAAUACUUGAUGAAAAAGCAUCUUGCUCUUCAAUCAACUUUUGAUUCUUCUCCAUCUCUUCGACCAGUAAUCCUUCAGUUUUUUCUGAGAUUUCUUUCAAGCAUUUCAAGUUCAUCGUGUUGAGAUUUAGCAAUUUUGACCAGCUUGGCAUAAGAUAUGUACUCAGGAGAGCAUUCAUCAAUGGUCCUUAGGUGUUUGGCAGAUACCUGAUCCUUUGAGGAUUUUGCCAUGAGGCAAAAGGCGAUUGGUUCAUCAUUGCUUGAUUCAUGAUCACUUGAAUCAUCAUCAGUGUCUGAGUUGGUGACUUUCUUUGAUGAUUCAAUAGCAACGUAGGCAUUACUUCUCCCAAUCAUCUUGUAGAAUUCUUCUUAUUUGGAAUCAGUAUCCGUGGCUUCUUCUUCAGAUUCUACUGUCAAGUCUGCAUAUGCUCUGUUCAGCCGUGAUAUCCUCUUCAUAUUUGAUUCGAUGGCUGCUAUGGCCUUAGUGUCAAUGAUUGGUCUCUUCAAAGAUACAGGCAAGAAAGAAUGAAGUGUGCAAGACAAAAGAUAUGGUUGCUCAUAGUUAGUGGACGGCUUUUGUCGUUUGAGAGCAACACACCUCCGAAGCCUUUGAGAGAGAAUCCUUGUGAGGACAAAACCCAAAACACCCAGAGCCCAAAGAGUGUUUGGCAUCACUGAAGUCUUUCUGUCCGCGUGAUCUAAAGACUUAUUACACUUGAAGACUGUGAUCUUCCAGUCGGUUAGGCGUCGCGUUCUGAGGAUCCAAGAGUCAUUGUGGAUCGCCGGUGAACGAAGUCUGUGAAGGUUUGGAAGUCUACCUUGAAGACUUACCUGAGUGAUUGGGCGAGGACUAAGUGACCUUAGCUCAAGGGGAAUAAGGUGAAGACACGGUCUUCUGAGUUAAAUCUCAGCCUCCCUAACCAGACGUACAGUUGUCACGGUAACUGGAACUGGUCUACCAAAUCAUUGUCUUCAUCAAGCAACUGGUUCUAUCAGUUUUGCUUCGUGAAGUCAUUGUUUGCCUGCUCCGAUUGACUUCUUUGUGUGAAGACAUUCACUCUGAUUGCAUGGUUGGCUUCAUACUAUCUUCCAGUUCUGAUCUAUUCUACCUGGCCGCUAUUUGUCUUCGUGUUUAAUCUGUUCUGUCUCUUUGACUUUGGCUAGGCUAGUGUAGUUUAUCUUCCGCUGCAUACUGUGUAGGUGUUAUUUGCUUGUUUNNNNNNNNNNNNNNNNNNNNNNNNNNNNNNNNNNNNNNNNNNNNNNNNNNNNNNNNNNNNNNNNNNNNNNNNNNNNNNNNNNNNNNNNNNNNNNNNNNNNNNNNNNNNNNNNNNNNNNNNNNNNNNNNNNNNNNNNNNNNNNNNNNNNNNNNNNNNNNNNNNNNNNNNNNNNNNNNNNNNNNNNNNNNNNNNNNNNNNNNNNNNNNNNNNNNNNNNNNNNNNNNNNNNNNNNNNNNNNNNNNNNNNNNNNNNNNNNNNNNNNNNNNNNNNNNNNNNNUUUCACUUUGUGAUAUUGGGAUUACCACAUUGCAAGUUUUUUGUUGUCGUUUGGAAGUUGCAAGACAUGCUCCUUUAUUCAUAUCUUUUGUCUUGCACACUUCAUUCUUUCUUGCAUGUAUGUUUAUCUUAUUACAUAUUGCAAGAUUUCUAUCCUCGUCGAUAUAGUUUUCAUGUGUUGAUCUAUUAGUAGAUGUUAUGCUGCUAUCUAACCUUUUUAGCACGGAAUUAUCUCCUACAAAUAGGUGUGCAUGCUAACUAUAUUCUUGUGAUUGCAUCACAUACUUAACACCUUUACUACCUAUUGUUGUCAAUAUUCCUUUUCAUUUAGGAUGUACAUUCGCUCUGAUGCAUUCCACCAAGUUUCAUGUGCUAUAGAAGAGUAUCGCGUAAACCUAAUCGAUUGUGCAUUUGCAUUGAAACACAAUUUUUUUAAUAAUAUAGUAUAAAUUUAGAAGAGGGGGCUCUUGUAUAUCACAUGCUUCUCAAAGCAUCAUUUUUAAGCUUUGAUCUAUGUUGUCAUCGAUUAUCAAAGAAAAGGAUAUUGUAAGUGCAUCUAAUCCUUAAGAUGGAUUUUAGUAAUUCAUGUCGUCCAUGACGAAAGAAAGGAGUAAAAAACAACAAGCAUUGUUACCAACAACAUCCGAAGCUAGGGUUCAUCGGAAUUCUUGUUGUCAUCUUUGAUAUUAGGGUCUCUUCCAUGUGGCCGAUCACCCUUCUCACUCCAGGACAGCGAUAUUUUUCGUAGACGGAGUUGGGAGUAAGUUACUCGAACAUAGUGCCUCUGGUCUUAGCUGAGGGUGCCUUCUCUCGUUCUUGCUUUGCUCCCGAUAGAUAGAAUAUGCUUUCUUUUUCUUACAAUCAAUACCAAUGAUAUAUUUAUAUAUUUAUAGUACCAAAUUGUACAUGAUAAAGAUACUUGAGCUGACUACAGCGAUAACAAAAUGAAGUCUAAAAGAAACGAGCAAAUCUUCUAGAUCUUCAAACUCUUUCUUCUUCCAUGACACAAUCAUAGGAAAUAUACUUUUCUAAGGCAACCACAGAAAAAUAACAAAGGUAUCAAACCAUAAGCUAGGGUUCUCCCAUAGUUUUAAUUUGAGCCGCAAUACCAAAGUUGCGAUGCACACACGCAGCCAUUAAAAUAAUCAACCAACAUCACAGAAUGUGCUAGUAACGUGUUGAAAGCAAAUGAGAACCAAUUACAAGAGAACCGAACGGAUGUGUAAAGAAAACAAUGGUCUUUUCAUAGAUUGAAUGAUUGGUAUUUACCCUUGCACAUAGCAAGUACAUUGGUAGAGGCCAUUGACACAUGUGGCAACCGGCCAAUCAGGGAAGGAUACUUAGGCAACAUGUGUUGAAUAAAUCACAGCAAGUAGGCGAAGCUUAGAAGUACCCGGAACAGUUAACGUUGUCCUACCACGUGCCCAUAUACGCCUCCAGUAUCAUCACGAAUACAUGAACAAUCACUUCGUAAAAUAAAGGAUCCCCAACUAAUCACGUUGGGGUCGACUUCAGAUGUCAAAACCAAAAGCCUCGGGAUAUCACAGGUUAAAAAUCAACCGCACACCAAUCACCCUUAAAUAGCUGAACCAAGCCAUAGUUACACCAAAUGAUUUAACAGCCCAAGAAAACCUCACUUUCCACCAAGAACCACAAGCUAUUGCCAAGCAACAUUACCUACAUCAUUUUCUGUAAUAAUAACAUCAAAACUAUAUAGAAAGCAUACAUAGUUCUUGGGGCAAGUAUCCAUGUGCUGCGAUAUCUGAGGGUUAGCCACACCACCUAUAGCACCUCUAUACAAGGCCAAUCAGCAGGCGUCUUCAUGAUACCAUGGAGGCAGGCGAUAGCUGCUCAUACUUACUCGGAUGGCAGCACAUAUUCACACUGUACCACUACAAGCCCCAUUUGCCUUCUAUACAGGUGAAGGGAUGUGGGUGUAACAUCGACACCCUUUCGCUUAAUGCGCAAGUGACGACCUGUUGUUGUUGUCAAGCCCCAUUGCAAAAUUGCCACGGUAAGUAAGGAGAUACAUCUCAGUCCUUG
RNAcentral lists this long non-coding RNA (49324 nucleotides) under Triticum aestivum (bread wheat). RNAcentral's name for it is "long non-coding RNA (TAES_LNC024046)". Lineage: Eukaryota; Viridiplantae; Streptophyta; Magnoliopsida; Poales; Poaceae. The record is from RNAcentral.